This 74417-nucleotide long non-coding RNA is filed under the name Capsella grandiflora. Its description in RNAcentral is "long non-coding RNA (CGRA_LNC000540)". Lineage: Eukaryota; Viridiplantae; Streptophyta; Magnoliopsida; Brassicales; Brassicaceae. The record is from RNAcentral.
ACCGGCCAAAUCUCCAGUUAAGCCCCCGGUUAAGGCACCAGUGUCUCCACCUACCAAAGCUCCAGUUAAGCCCCCAGUUUACCCUCCCACCAAAGCUCCUGUCAAGCCCCCAACCAAAGCCCCAGUUUACCCUCCUACCAAAGCUCCAGUUAAGCCUCCAACCAAAGCCCCAGUUAAGCCCCCAGUUUCCCCACCGACCAAACCUCCGGUCAAGCCCCCGGUUUACCCUCCCACCAAAGCUCCGGUUAAACCCCCAACUAAACCCCCGGUCAAGCCACCAGUUUCCCCACCAGCCAAACCUCCGGUCAAGCCCCCGGUUUACCCUCCCACCAAAGCUCCAGUCAAGCCCCCAACUAAGCCCCCGGUUAAACCACCGGUUUCUCCUCCGGCCAAGCCACCAGUUAUGCCGCCGGUUUACCCACCUAAGUUCAACCGUAGCCUAGUCGCCGUUCGUGGUACAGUCUUCUGCAAAAGCUGCAAAUACGCUGCCUACGACUCACUCACAGGCGCUAAACCUGCCGAAGGUUUGAACUAAUUUUCUUGAACUAAUUUUCUUUAUGUUAUUAGUAGAAUAUCAUUAACUUCUGUUAUUUAUUUUAUACAUUCAUAAAUACAUCAGCAAUAAUCUUGUGAAAUAACCUAAUUUGCCCGCUCUGCAUACGCAUUUAUUCAAUACUGUAUAUGUCUAUAAAAUAAUAAUACGUGUCACAUACCAACGCACACUUCGAUACUAAUAAUUCAAAAUUUCAAAAACGUUACAAGUGGUAGGGACCUUUUGGUACGUAACUAGUCAAUGUUUUGAAAAGAGGUAAAAAAAAAAUAAAAAAAAAUAAAGAGAGUGACUUUAUAUAUGUACACUUCUGCACUCAUCAGUCACUGUUUUUUACAGUCUGGCUUAUAAAUUUCACUACUUCCGAAAAGAAGUAAUUUAAAGCAUACAAUAAUAACUAUUCUCAUUAAUUUAUUUUAUUACAUUGGUUCGUGCAGGUGCAACUGUGAGACUAGUGUGCAAGAGCAAGAAGAACAUAAUCUCGGAGGCGACGACAGACAAGAACGGAUACUUCUUUUUGUUGGCUCCGAAGACAGUGACCAACUACGGUUUCAGAGGAUGCCGUGUGUAUUUGGUGAAAUCAAAGGACUACAAGUGCAACAAAGUGUCCAAGCUCUUCGGUGGUGAUGUCGGCGCUGUACUCAAGCCUGAGAGAAGCCCUGGAAAAUCCACGGUGGUGAUCAACAAGAUGCCUUACGGUAUCUUUAACGUCGGUCCAUUUGCAUUCAACCCGGCUUGCCCCAAAUGAAGAUGAAUCCGUCCCUCUGGUUACUUUCUUGAUUACGUCGAGUUUAUCAUAUGAUUAUCUCGUGUUCAAAAAAGAGUGUAAGAGAGAGAGAGAGAGAGUUUAUGUGCGUUGGAAUUUUAAUGUUAGCUAGUUUUUUUUUCUUCUUUUAAGUUAAAAAAAAUGCUUGGGUUUAAAUUAUGAUGUAUGAAUCUCUCUCUUUAAGCGACGUUGUUUAAGUUUCAUUUGAAUAAAAUAGUAUUACUAGCUUUUUCGAGAUGAUUUAUUUUGGAUUUUUCAAAAUGAGAAUAUAAUGAAAUGACUCCGUUAGUAUAAACAUAACACACAUUGAAUGAACAAUUUAAGUGAAAGUGUCAAGGCGCGAGGCAAAUUAUAAUUAUAAUUUGCAGAUUGCAAUGCAUAAUUAAUGAAUAACUUGAGUAAAUUUUCUUUUCCCAACUUGUUAUUCUUUUUUAUUUAUAUAUAGGAAUGUUAUUUUACGGUAUAGACAAAAGAGAAAAAUGAUUACUAGGAACGGUGAAAGGUUCGAUGGGAAGGGGAAGGGGAAGGGUGGGGGAAUCAUCGAAUAGGGUUUCUAGUCGGUUCUUGGAUUCGGAGAAAAAUCAGCUGCGUAAUUGUCGGCCACGGGGCUGACAUCAUUUCCCCAUCACAUCUCCAAAGUUUUUGUUUUUCGUUCAAAAAGGACAAGAAAUAAUUCAAGGCAUCACUAUUUAAAACGACCAAGUUUUGAAUUAAGAAAAAAAGUGGAUUAACAAGAAAGGUUUAUGGGUUGUGGUGAAACGAUUAAGUGAUGUGGAUUAACAAGAAAGGUUUAUGGGUUAUGGGUUGUUUUUUUUUACCUUUUGCUUUUCUUGUUUCAUGUAUUUAUGUGGUGUCAUGCAUUAGUGUUCGACUUUUUUUAGUUCAUAACUUGAGCUUCUCUCAUGCAUUAAGUGUUCGACAUUUCAGUUCAACAGUGUUGCUUGAAAUUAAUUCAUUGUCUUAUAAACUCACUCUGUUUACUAUCAUGAUUGAACUUGUUCUUUUCUUGUUAGGAGAAUUCAGAUGUAGUUAGUAAAUUAAAGACUCGAAAAAAAAGAGAGAAGAAGAAACGCAUUAAGGUAAGUUUAGUUGUUGAUAUCAAUUGGAUGAUCAAGAAAAUGCAGUGUUAAUCUCUCUAACUUCACUCUUUUUUCUUUUAUUCUUUGGACGGACGAGAGAUCAAUAAUGUCCGUACACAAAGAGAAUUAUAAGGUUUCAUCAUUUCUACUCUCGAGAUGGAUAAACUACACAAGACAUGGCCCAAAUAAAUGUACACUAACAGGGCCUGAACUCACACACCCAACCCGUUUGGUAAACAAGUAACAAAUAUAAGAGCCCAACUCAUAAAAGCCCAACGUAUCUCCGCAAAUAACGAGCAUGAAGAAAUAGUUCUAGACUAGUAGCUUACUUAGUCAAACGACUAAAAAACCCUUCAAGCUCAAUGAUUAGAUUACUUCCAAGAAAAGCAUAUCUUGAUAGAUUGAAUAUAUAAUAACACGACACGUAGAUAAAUCAACUUACCAUAACAUCAAUUCUUAGCAUAUUUAUUGGUAUAUUUGACCCAAAAAAAGAGGUCACAUAAAUAAUAAAUUGUCCUCCUAGUCAUCUAAACCAUCAUUGGUUGAGAUGAGUUCCAACAACGAGUUCAAUUCCCCCCCAAAGGAAAUUAAAUCUUCUUUGUAGAAAUUAUAUAUGCGUUGUAGUUAAUUAAAGAGACUUUUUAGUCUCUACCUCUUAUCAUUUAUUGCCAAAGACUUACAAAAACCAAAUAAGUCUACACAACAACAACAAUAGUGUAGAAAGAAAAAGAAAAACUCACACUUCCUCCAUCUUGGGACGACGGCGCGUGCACACCAUUCUCCAAGUCAACGCGUGAGCGAAGACUUAAAAAGAAAUUAAGAAAGAGACUAAAGAGCCAAUAGCGCCCACCGAAAACAUUUUCUUACCGAACCAAAAAAACACAAAACACAAUUUUUAUCUUUUCUCUCUUCUCUUCUCUCUCUCGUGCUGUGCUACAACAAAAUGGAGAAUUCGCCGAGAUACAGAGAAGCGACGAAUCUGAUUCCAUCGCCGAGAUGCCACAACAACAACAACAGCUGUAGUAUGAGCAGUAGCAGUGAGAGUAACAAACCACCCACAACCCCAACCCGACACGUUACUACAAGAUCCGAAUCAGGUAACCCGUACCCGACAACAUUCGUUCAAGCAGACACUUCAUCCUUCAAACAAGUCGUUCAGAUGCUCACCGGAUCCUCCGACAGACCCAAACACGCUUCUUCCCUUAAACCGAACCCGACCACCACCACCCAUCCACCCGACCCAAGAUCCACUCCUUCCUCUUUCUCAAUCCCUCCGAUCAAAGCCGUUCCGAACAAGAAACAGUCUUCUGGGUUCCGUCUCUACGAGCGUCGCAAUUCUAUGAAGAAUCUCAAAAUCAAUCCUUUGAACCCGGUUUUUAACCCGGUUAACUCUGCUUUCUCCCCUCGUAAACACGAGAUCCUCUCUCCCAGCAUCCUCGAUUUCCCUUCUCUCGUUCUCAGCCCUGUCACGCCUCUUAUACCCGACCCGUUCGAUCGAUCCGGCUCAUCCAACCAGAGCCCCGACGAGCUUGCCGCCGAGGAGAAAGCCAUGAAAGAGAAAGGCUUUUAUCUUCAUCCAUCCCCGGCGACUACUCCGAUGGAUCCAGAGCCACGACUUCUUCCUCUUUUUCCGGUUACUUCACCUCGAGUCUCAGGUUCUUCAUCAGCUUCUACUUCUUGAAAACCCUAAUUUUUAUUUUUUUACUCAAUUUUUUUUUCCUUUUGUGAUCUUAAUUACAUAUGAUAUAAUUGGGAAUUGAGGUGAAUCCUGAUGAGAAUUAUUAUACGAGAAAAAAAAAGUUGUAAUGUUGAGAUGUUUGCUAAAUUUUUAAAAAUCAUCCGCCUUCAAUUGUAUUAUUAUUAUUGUUAAAUCUCUCUUUCCUAUAUGGUGAUUUUAAUAUGAUGCUCUCUACUUCACUUAUUUCAAUGAAUUGAAUGCUAAAAAAUCAGAUUAGUAAUUUUCACUCUUAUUAAGUCAGUUUAUGUAAUUGUGCAAUUUUGACUUGAAUGAUAUAUUCUAUAGUAAUUGGAGGGGUUAAAAACACACACAAUUAGUUGUAUCCUACAUUGUUUUUUUGUAUUCAAAGUAGACAAAUUGAUGAAGAGAUUAGUCUUACUUUAGAGAGAAACCAAAUUGGUCCAAUCCAAACCUUCUUUUGCUAAGUAUCGAUGAAAGGGAAAAAAAGGAGUGUAAGAAGAAAAGAGAUUUUUAUGUUAUUUCAUUUUCAUAAAUAAAACCAUAAUUGUUUUGUAUAGUCUUCUUUUCUCCUUUUUAUAUACAAAUUAGAAAGAAAAAAGAGUAAAUUGGAUAGAAAGAAGGGAAAAGAGUGGGGCUUAGCUGUCUAAAGAGAAGAGUAUUAAUUUAGGGGUAAGGAAUCUUUUGACUUAUAUUUUUUUUUCUUUCUUAUCCUGUUUGAACCCAAUUCAUAUUCAUGAUUUUGAUUGAGAUAGGGGUUUUGUGAGAUUUUGACCCCUUUUUUACCUAUAUUUUUUGGCCUAAUGAAUGAAUAGCAACAGCAAAAAUUGUGGUUUGGAUACAUUUAAGAGUAGAACAAUCCUUUUAGUUGUUGUGGUCAUUUGUUUGGGGUCUAAUAAUAAUAAUAAUAUCUUGAGUCAAAUGUGAAAUGUUUUUAGUUGAAAGGUGAACUUUUUACUAGUGGCAUAUGGCUAGAUUGAUUUGAGGUAAUGGGCAUAUGCAAAAUGACCCCAUCUCGAUCUUUUUGUUGUCUUUUUAAUAUCAUGUAGUAUAUCUUUCUUUGGUCAAAGUUUUUAAAGAAAAAAAAUAUUAGGUGUUUGAAUUGGUUGUACAAAAGGGACGUGGUCUAAGGAUACGAUUAAUGGCUUAAUUAUUUAGUAUUUUGUCAUUAAAUGGGGUUUGAUGACUAAAUAUAUAUAUAUAUAUAUAUAUAUGAAAAAGUUUAAAAUUAAACUUGACUCAAUCUUCUCAUGGUGGACCGGAUCCAUUAUUAUCUAUCUAUCUCUCUAUACAAAAAAGAAAGAAAAUUCUCAUGUGAAGAGAGUUGAAGUUAUGUGCCCCACUCCCACUAUUAGUGGUGCCACUGAUAGCAAUUGGGGUUGACUCAUUUUUUUCAAUUUUCUUCUCUUACAAAAAUAGUUAUAACAAUAAAGAUCUUUUUUUUUUGUGUGAAAAUAAUUUGGUUAGAUGUAUUCUUCUGCUAUUGGUAAAUCUUACCCACUAGAAUCUAAUCCGGAUUUUGUAGUGAUGUUUGUACCUAAAUUCCUUAAAUUACAGAGUAUAAGAUAUAGAUGGAUUCUCUUUUACAACAAAGAAUAUAUUCCACACACCAAAAAAAAAGAGUGAAAAACACUAAAAUAAAAAGUUUUUUUUGUAAAAUCUAGUUCACUAGUAUUAUAAAGAAAAGAAAAGUUAAAUAAUAGAAAAAGUCAAAAAAAGAAAAAAGUAAUGGGAGAUGUGGUGUGAAUAGCAAUAAUGUUUCAAAGUUAGGUUCUCAUCUCACUUCAAAGUCUUCUUUGGCUUCUAUUUUUUUUUUUUUUUUUUUAAUGAGUAUUGGAAAAAGACCAUACAGUGCUGAAUGAAGUAGUAGUGCAGGUGGGUCUUGUGACCAUGAAACUACCAAACAUUUCCUCAGACAAACAAACAGACAAAACAAUUUUAACUGUUAGCUAAGUGAGUCAGUCAGAGAGAGCACAGGCACAGCAUGGGCCUAACCAAAGAAUGAACAUUAUACGUUUUCUUAGGGCUCUUUUAUUGCCCCCUCUCUCCCUUGAGAACUUGAAUGAAGCUGUUUUUGAGUACGACCGGUUCUCACUCUCAUCUUAAAUUGAGAACCACAAAACACUUUUCUCCUAAACAUGAAAGGUGCAGUUUGAUUUGGUCUCGGACUUGGGCUUUUUCAGUUCAAACUCAUUUUUACUUUGAGACCCAAAAGGCCGAAACGUUUCUUCUAACCAUUACAUUGUUCAUUAUUUUGUCUGCACAUCAUUUCCUUUGAUCUUCUUGAUCUUGAUAAUUUAAGCAAGAAAGCUCAAAUAAUUUCUCAUUAUCCUUUUUGUUGAUAAAUAAGAAACACUUUCAAUGUCUUAAUAUUUGUCCGAUCGGGUUAGAUCCCAUGAUCAGUAACAGUCUCAACUUUAAGUAACCAAAGCUUGACGUGCCUCGUUCGUUUCGAGAUAAAACAAAAUACAAUAUAGAAAAGAACAAAAAAAACUAGGUCCAAUUUGGCCCCUUGGUCGUUAAAACAAAUGUAUAAAUUGUAAAAAUACUAAAAACAUCAUGAUGUAUAUAAUAGAGGAAACGGAACUUAAUUAUAUGAACGAAACGAAAUUAAAGAACAACAACAAAGGAAACGAAAAGAAGCGAUAUACCAAUGGAAUCAAAAGCUUAUAUGCAUCAUGAUGACGAUGAUUUUAAAAUAAUUAAAGGAAACAAAAAAAAAAGAAAAGAAAAGAUCAUACGUAUAACAUAGGAUACGUUAAUAAAGAAUGAAAACAAAAAAAAAUAAGAGAAAAAGGUGGUGGAAAUUAAAUAUGUAACGAUCAAGAAUGAAGAAGAUCGAACGUGUACGUACGUAAGAUGAAUCAAAGCUUCGUCCUCUCUCUCUAUUCAUUUUAGCGAGCGUACCUAUAGCAAUGCGUGAUGGCACUGCAUCCACGCCUGUAAGGAUUGUUCCUUUUUCUCUUCUUGCAAUCGUAGUAAGAUCGGCCACGUCUAUUGCAUGGCACAUUGUUCUUUUUGAGAGCAUCGUAACCAAUGUAACGACGUCCUCUUGCGAGCUGACGUCGGUUUGUCUCUGAGUCCAUCAGAGACUCGAGCUCAUCGUCCUCUCCGAUGCAGCCUUGCCCGUUGACGCAUGCUUUUGUCAAUGGAUAGGUCGCAUUGACGGAUUUAGCUACCAUAGCUAAGAUCAAGAGCCCGAAGAUCAAUAACAUUUUGACACCCAUUUUUUUUUUCGUUGUUUUUUUUUUAAAGAAUUAAUAGUGAGUUAUAAAUUAUUACUCUUUUGUUUUAGUUUUGGUUUCUUCCACGCCCUUCCUUGUGACAAGGAGAGGGAGAAAUAGAAGUAUGUGAGAUUGUGUAGAAGAACAAAUGAGAGAUUGGUUUUGUUGCGGAAAUAAAACAAGGUUAAGACAGAUUUGAGAUUUUUGCUUGUUAUUAUUUUGUGGUUGUUAAUUCUGUUACUUUGAAAAUGAGGGUUUUAACCUUUUUUCUAGGACUGUUUUUUCCAUUUUUACCGUUUGGUAGUUAUAUCUAAAUUUGAUAUAAGUUAUUUAUGGCUCUGCUUUUUAUUCGGCUAACUUUUUUUUUUCUUUUUCUAAAUCUUAUUUUGUGAAAAUAUAUAUAAGUAAAUGCUCAACGUUGGCAUGUAAAAAUGUCUAUUAUCAGCAUUGUAACCAAUUUCAAGAGAAGUUUAAGAACGAAUAGUGCUUUUUUUUGGAUUUUGGUUAUAAGAGAUCAUAGGAUCAUAAUAUUUUAGAUACUAUUUUUCCGUAAAUUCAUAAACCCUGCGUUAGUUUUUCAGCAUCUUUUAGAAAUAUAUAAAUUUCGUCAAUUCUUUUAUCAUAAAUUCUUUUUCCAAAAAAAUAUAUAUUUAUGGAUCUCAUUAGAACUUUUUUUUAAACAUCAAAACACAAUACUUUGUUAAGCCGGUUGAAAUAGAUUAGUCUCGUGAGCUAUUUACAUUAGAAUCUGAGAGUUUAUAUAGGAAAAUGGGGUAACCUCGUGCUCAAGCCGCUUUUGCAAGCCGGUAGGCACAUAUAUACUUCCUUGGACUAUUUGAUUAUAGAGAAAAUUACAAGAAAAAAAUAUACUAUGCAUUGACACAAUACAAUAAUUCAGAUUCCUUGGAUCCCUACCACAUUUUCAGUCUCAUGAUAUACACAAUUCCAUUAUGAAUGCGAUAUUGCGAUGUGGUAGUACUCCGAUGUGGUAGUACUCCAUAAAGUGCCAGGAAGAGCAAAGACGAGAGCUAGAAGCUAGUUAGUAAAAUAGUGUAAGAUGUCGUGUCGGUCAAUUAUGUUUCUUAAAAAUAUAUAUUUUCAUAAUGAUAACAAUGACAAGAAAAAAUCAAGAGAUGCAAUGCCAUAGUAAUGGGUCACUUAAUCACGUACCGAACAACUACUACAACGUUAGUUGCCCGCAUUUCAUUGGUCAAUAUGUAUAUUGUUGUCAUUACUCAUUAAGAAGUUAAUUGAAAAAAAAACCACACAAUUAUUCUAAUACUUAAGUAGAAAAAGUCAAUACCAAAAACACUAUUUAUAGUCUCCUACAUAAUCAUCGUCGCAAUCUAUUUACUAACCACAGUACGUAGACACGAAGAUCAACACAGACAAACUCAGUUUAUAAUCAUUUUCUAAUUUGAUAAAAUGAAGAAGAAUAUUUCAAAUGUCUCUUUGAUAGUUUCGAAGGUUUUACUUUCGUAGUUCACACAGAUACAUCAUCCACGUAAUUCAUCUUUUUUAUAGUAAUAAUAUAACGUAUGUGUAGUGUAGUGUAGCUAUCAUCAAAAUAUCGAUAUCAAUCGUCAAAAGAUCUUUAAAAAUGAUAAAAAUGAAGAAAAUUAAAAGUUGUGCUGGUAAGUUUCCAAUUCAAUUACGUGCUUUGUUUGCCUUUGUUUUUAAUACGAAUGGGUCCAUCACAUAUAAACCAAAAAUACUAGUCAUCUUGUGAGGUGAUGUCCUCGAGUGAUCAAACAUAUAUACUAUAUUGUAGGCUUUGUGGGAUGUCGAUUUCUUAAUCAAUCAAGUUUUAUUUCGAAAUUAUUAUCAAUAAGGUAAAGAUUUUGUGAGCAUUUUAAAAUUUUAAUGUUUUUUUUUUUUCAUUUUCUUUCGUAUCUAAUAUUGUGUAGAAUUAACAUAUUUGAGUGUAUAUAUAGUAAUAUAUAUAUACACACACACACGUUAAGAAAAACAAAACAAUUUUUAGACCAUCAUUAACAAGGGGUUCUUAAAUAAAUCUUAAGGUAAAAAAAGUUAAGAAAAGCUAAGAAAAGUUAGUUUAUGUAUCUUGUAUAAGAGAUGUUUAGUCACUUUUCUUAGUUUUUUUGUACUUUUCUUAACUUAAGAUUUUGUUAAAAGCCCCUUGAUAAUCAUGCUCUUAGUUGUGGAAAAUUUACCAGAUAAAUCAUGGAUUUCAUGCACCAUCUAUUUAUAAUUAAUUUGUGUGGGACAAAGUAUAUUUGUUUGAACCAAAGUCUCACUCUCACUAUUUAUUUGUCCAACAAUAAUAUUUGUCAAUUUAUGAACUAGAAUAAGACAACUUAUCAAUUUUAUUAUUAACAAAUUUGAAUAAAAAGUUCUACGUCUUCGAACAAACAGUUUUUAAAGAUUAUAACUGUUGAUAAGACCAACUUAAUUAUCUUCCUACAAAUGUUGAAAGCUCACUAUUAUGUUAUGAUUAGUUGUGAGAUCUUAUAAAUCUCAGAAUUAUAUAAAUUAAAUGACAUAGGAUUACUAUAUCCCAAAAGCCAUGACAGAAUAGUUAAGGAGGAUAAAGGAAGGUUUGGCUUAAACGUCAAGGAAUAUUUAAAAGUGGCGUGGCUAACUUUUGCUUCCUCUAAUCUCCUUUUUCAAAUUCAGUAGGAUUGUAUAUGCAUUACAUAGACUAAUACUGGAGCAUUAUAUAAUUUUUUUUUUUUUGACAUAGUAGCAAAUUCUUAGAUUCUUUAAAUAUGUUUUACCAAUAUUUUUUAAUUUAAUCAUUUAGAUGAAUCUUUGAAAAAAAUUAGGGAGAAAAAUGAAUUAAAGAAUAUUUUAUUUGGAGGAGAAACAAAUGAUGUAGUUGAGAGCACUUGGAAGAAGAAGUGGGAAAUAAUGGAUUAGAUAUGUAUCCACCUCUGUCUGAAUCUUCAUGAUCAUGAUCAUCAUCAUCAUCAUCAUCAUAAUCAAUUCAUCAACAUCAUCAUCAGCUACCUUUCUACUUUGUCCGUUUCACAAUCUUUUUUGCCAAAUCCUCUCUCUCUCUUCCAUGUGACACACUUCGCUUGGCUUUUUCUUUCCUAUCUCCGUACGUCAAAGUUUCUUCUGGUAAAGUCCUCUUCCUCUUUGUCUUUUUGUUUUCCAUCUAUAGAUUUCACUCUCUUCUACGAUUUUUUUUUUCUUCUCUUCCCUGCUCUCUACUCUGCUUCUUUUGAUUGUGAUAUCUCUUACCUGGUGCUCUUCUCUCUGUAAUUCUUGACUUUAGCUACUGUUUCUUGGGGAUUUCAUCAUCUGGGUUUCUUUAGUUUCUCCAAAAGCUUCUGACUUUGAGCUUACCUAGUUCAGGUUAGAUGAUAGUUUUGAGGAGUCAUGCGUCUCUAGUCCUCAAGCUUCUUCCUUUUUCUACUGUUUAUGAUAAAUUCUUGAUCUUUCUUAGUUUUUCAAUGUUUCUCAGUCCUGCCUGUCUCCAAAUUUUGAACACUCUUGUCUGAGAGAUAUAUCUGUUCGAUUCACCAAAGAGGAUGGAAGCUUCUACUAGAAAAUUACCCAAGAGUAAUGCCGAUUCAGCUGAUCAGAAGCAUAGCCUUAAUUUUCGUGUAGAGGUAUACUUGUUGCUUUUGCUUACAGAAUCUCUUAACUCACUGUUUCUGUAUAUGAACACACAACUGAAUGGUGUUUUUUGCUCAGGUAAACAACAUUGAGAAGCAGCUAUGGACAUUAAUCCAUUCAAAGGGUAUAUUGCAUCCUGAUGUUUCAGAAUUAUACACGAAAGCAGGUUCGACCUACGAGCAAAUCUUUAAAAGCAAUCUCCAACACGAAGAGCUUCAAGAAGUAGAGUUCUGUCUCUGGAAACUCCACUAUAAACACAUAGAUGAGUUUCGUAAAGGCCUUAAAACAGAUGAUCAUCUCAAGCAUAUUAAAGCAUUCAAGUUGUUUCUGUCAAGAGCGGCUGAGUUUUACCAGAAUCUGAUUUCCAAAGUCAGAGGGUAUUACAAUAGAGUCUCCGAGGAAUCUGGAGAACAAAAAAGCAGAUUCUUAUGCCAUCGUUUCUAUAUUUGUCUUGGAGAUCUCCAAAGGUAUAAAGAACAAUAUCUGAAAACACAUGAGCAUCCUAAUUGGUCAACUGCAGCUACAUACUAUCUUGAAGCUGCAACAUCUUGGCCUGAUAGUGGAAAUCCCCAUAACCAGGUAACUAACUCUUUUUCCACCACUCUGUUUUGUUAUAUUUGCCAUUUCUAAGUGAUCUGCUUACAUUUGUGUAGUUAGCUGUAUUGGCGACAUAUGUUGGUGAUGAAUUCUUGGCUCUGUAUCACUGUGUACGAAGCUUAGCUGUGAAAGAACCUUUUCAGGGUGCUUUGAACAAUCUUCUUUUGUUGUUUGAGAAGGUAACUGAUUCACUGACUCUUUUCUAUUUAUCUGCAAUUGAGUUAUCUUUUCCCUGCAUUGCUCAGAAUGCUUUUUUAACUACUGCAGAACAGAUCUUCUCCUUUGAAGUCUCUGUCUACUGAUGCACAGUUUAACUUCUUAAAUCCAUCAGAGAGAAAUGUUUCUGUGAACGAUUUGUCAAAAGAGAAAGGAGAACUAGUAACUGGAAUUGCUUUAUGGCCCCUGGUUGUUCGAACAACUAGCUUUUUUUUCCUUAAAUCCAGGUAAGUUUGGAUCAUGAGUAACAUUGAUUCUCAUCUUUUAGCUCAAGUUCUUGAUGAGCCUUUCUCCAAUAUUGUUCUUCUCUUCAAUUCUUUCUGGUUUGUUUCAGUUUUGAUGAGUUUGGCCGUACAUUUGCUUCAACUAUAAGAGAGCUGGAUGCAGCGUUUGCAGCAGAUGAUAGAAAUCUAGAAGCCAUAUUGGAGUCUUAUCAAUUUAUGGACACAGCGGCGAGAAAGGGACCUUAUAAAAUUCUCCAACUUGUUGUGGUUUUCAUCUUCAUCUUCCACAAUAUCGCCGAGGUUAAUGGUACAGACAGCAUGAUAGGGGAAGACAAACUAAAUUUAGCAUUAACUAUGGUGUUCAUCAUCAUGGGCCGAGUUGUUGGGAGAUGUUUGAAGACGAGCCCCUUGGAUUCUUGCCCUCUCUUACCUGCUCUACUUGUAUUUCUAGACUACUUACCGUUUCUGCUUCACAAGGUAGACGAGGAAGAAUGCAGGUUUGAUGAGAAGAGCGAGAGUGCAAUAUCUUACUUCUUUGGCAAACUCGUUGAUUUCUUGAACCGGUUAAAAGUAAAAGGCAAAAACUGCUCUGCUAAAGUGGUGGUCGCUCUCUGGGAAGAUCAUGAACUCAAGUAUUUGGCUCCUCUGGCUCCCAGACAUGUACUUUUGGAUUUCUCAAGUCAUGUGGAUCUACAAGAGAGUUUUGAUAGAGGGAAGGAGCUCCGUCUCCAACGGAUUAUUAAUUCCGCAAUUGAGAUCACAAGUAGGCAGAAGAAGGCUUCUCAAAAGUGGCUAUUCUUUGACAAGCAAAGGACUCAAUUCUACACAACUUCUGGUGAAUUGCAAUGCAAAGAAGAGCUCUUUCAUGGAAAUAGAGAGGGUAGCAACAGAAAAUGUGUUACCAUAGGACCAGUUGAAAUCAUUCCUUUUGAGAAGGAAAGAUCUAUACCUGCAGAAGAGGAAGAAGUCAUUCUUCUCAAGCCGCUCGUAAGGUGUCAAUCUGCUCCAAUCUAUUCGUCUGGCAUUGAAACAAAGCCACUCAGCUCCGAUAGCACAACUUCAGGAAAUCAAACAACUACAUCUGAUGAAAACCUAAGACGUACCUUAUCACUGGUUGUGAACCAUAGCUCACAGGAUACUGGCUCUGAAAGCUUCAGCUUUACGCAAGGCCUUAAGGACACAGAUCCACAACAUUUGCAUCUAGAAGAAGGUACCAUCUCAGGAAGACCUCCUUCGCUGAGCGCGUGGGUUGUUGACAAGAACAAAGAAAAUGGACGACCCAGUUUAGGUAAACCAAACGGAUUGGGCCCUAUUGAUGAAACAGGUCCUGUCUCAACCUUUGAUAGUCUCUCCAUCAGUAGCAGCACCGAGCAUCCUGCGUCUUCCUAUUCACCUCCUACUCCAUCUGCUCCAUUACUGCCUGAGGAUGCUUCUUGGCUUCAUAAUGACACUAGUACUAAUAAAGCAGAGAGCUUCUAUGACCAGAAAACAUAUAUGGAACUACCCGGUGUUAUGAAGCCAUACACUAAUCCACCAUUUGUUGGGAUUUCUUCUUCAGAAUGGUUACGUCGGUACAGAGAAAGUCGGAAUCUUGGACCAGCCUAUUCCUAUCAAGCACAAGGGACAAACAAUUUGAGAAACUUCUUGGCUCAUGGGUCUUCCAAGAUCAGUCUCUUAGCUAAGUACGGGACACCAAACGAACAACCGGCGAUCUGUGCUGAAAACCCAAUGUUUUACCCUCAGCUCUACAUGGAAGAAAAUGGAUCUAGAGGAGAGAAGCUCUACAACGGUCAACAAGGAACAACAAAUGCUUAUGGCUUCAGUGAUGAUCCCGGACCGUUUCUUCGAUUUCUGAGAGAGAAAGAGUGGCUGAAUGAGAAUAGUCAGAGGUUAAGAGGACCUUCUCCUGCACAUAUGAACAACUAAAGAUGCACGAGUGAACAAGAAACUGUCUCAAGUUGGCGAGUUGUGACAACCUGUAGUCAAUGUUUUGUCCCUCAAUUUUUCAAGAGAAUGGAAACCUAUAUUAAGAGAAGGAUUUGUUGUACAUUAAAAAAAAACAAAGAAAGGAAACUUCAAAAGUUAUAAAAAUCCAUCAAGUUCUUUUGUUUCGUGAGGAAUGCAUUAGAUUAGCCUUGAGAUCAUUACAAAAAAAGUAUACGUAUCAAAACAAUCAGUAUCAAAUAAUAAUCAUCUUCUUACAUCGGAGGAGUAAAAUUAGUCUGGAAUAGCAUCUGAUAAGCAGUUACAAAAAAAGGAAAAAAAAAAAGGAGCUAAUAGUAGAGAAUCAAGCAAGUAACAUCCUGAUCAAGAUGAAGUUCUUGUUUCAGUACACUUGCCGUUUCCUCAAGCCAAAGAAAGAAAACAAAACAAGAUGAGAGAACCAAGGAAAGAGUAUUGAGAAAGCAAAUGCUAUGUACCAACAAUAGAAAGUGGAUCUUCUUGUUGUACCAAUCCAGACUAAUCCCAGUCCUCCUAUUUUGCUUGAUAUAUCUGUUGUUAAAUGUUCUAUCACACAUGUCUCUGCCUCUACCAGUGUGUGCAUGAUCAUUCAGUUUUAUCAUUAGGUAGCAAAUUCAGCUCCUUCAUUUGUGUCUCCACUUGUACUAAGCCUGUCUGAUCAAGAAACCUGCAGAACAAAGGCAACAUAAACAGCUUUUGAAAUUUGUAAGCUCUUCAGGAUGCAUAUUACCAGUAACAUUUCAUCUUUUUCCAUAAUCUUAUUCAAAGUAAAAACCUUCAGAAUCUUUAGAAGCCUUAAACGGGUCACAGAGACUUCAAGUAAAAAACACAAAAAUGAGAUCAUUUCUAUAAAAAUAUACAAAACCAGAUAACUUAUAACCCUUAUCUGAUAUCUAACUCAAUUUACACAUUAGAACCAUGAAACAGGAACUCCUUCAGCUCCUAGCUAACAGCAAUGCAGAGAAAUAUAUUCGAAUCCUUAAACAGAACAACUCAAGGAUUGAUCAGCAACGACAAAAAGACACUAGAGAAAGUUUUAGGAAUCAGAUCUAAGACGAAACAUUUAAUUAGCCUAUACAAAAUUGAGUUAAAAGAGAAGCAAAAUUUGACAUACCAAUUGAGAAGGAUAAAGAGAGAAGCGGCGAUGAUAAUAAGAAAGCCAACAUGAACAAGCAACAUAGACUGGCCACUGGUGAAAGCUACAGAGAGCAUGAAAGCUAGACAAAGACCCAGUAGUAGAAACGCGAAUCUCAGAGUGUUCCAUGUUGGACCCUGUUUAAAAAAUUUACGAUCCAAUUUAGGGUUUUAACAAAGCACAUAUCACACAAAGCAGUUAAGAGAGAUCAUCGUGCUGACAUUAACGCCUGGAGCUAAAGCUCCGAGAAGAACAGCUUCCGUUGACGAAAUCUGAGAUUUUUUCUCCUCCUUCUUCUCCAUCUUUCUUCUUCACAGAGAGUUCAGCGACGAAUCUGUUUUUUUUUUUUUUCAAUUCCGAGGAAACGAUCAACUUAAACCGAAAUUGUAAAAACCGGCUUAUUCCGGUUAUUGUUAAUUGAUUAAUCAUAAUUGGUUUGAUUUCAAUCCUAUGUUUACAAACAUUGACCGUUGACCAUUGACUUUUACGACAUAGUUAAUCAAAUCAAAUACAGAUCAGAGUAAGCUAGACGUCACAUUAAAACAUGUUCUUAUUAACAAAAUCUUCAUCAUAACGUGUUAAAACUACAAGUAAAAGCAAAUUGCUUUGAAGCAAUGAUCAUAAUGUUUUGGAAGAGUAGGAAAAUCAAAACGUGAUACUUGGUUUUGGCCUAUACAUUUGUGGAAACUUUUGCUAUUCUAUAACCAAUUCCAAAAUCUUUUUAUAACAUUCAUUUUAAUAUAUGUAUAAAGGAAAAUUAUCUCCAUUGAUUCUUCUGGUGGCAAAUGCAAUUAGGUGACAGCAACAACGAUGGCCAAACCAAAAAUUCAGGAUAACCAAAGCUAAAAGUAAGUAUUUUAUCUAAUACAAGAUUGAGACUUUGUUCAAAAGUAACAAGAUACUUUCAAUGACCUUCUUUAGCUAUAUAUUGCAAUCUUGCGAAAAACUAAUGUUUUAGCAAAAAUUUAAGUUUUCUACCUAGUUUCUGCAAUUAGCAUCCUUUUAACCCAUUAACAAGGCUACAUAAAAACAUAUUUCCAGUUACAAACAUAUCUUUAUUUGAUGCAUAAUUUAAGUAGUAAUCAAAAUUUAUAAGACAGAAAUGGUGGUUGGUGGUUGAAAACUUAUGGUAUAAGAGACUUACCAACAUCUUGAACGUAUAGUAUGAGACUACGAACUUACGAUCCAGUUAGAGUUAGCAAUGUAAUAAGCAAAAUGUAAGAAAAAUACGAGUUGUGACUUCAUAACUUUCAAAGAACAUGUUAACCUUUUAUAACCAAACAUCUGCAUGUCCAUUCAUAUAAAAAAAAGAAUUUCCAUAUAUUUUAAAACAAAUUUUAAUGUAUCAUUAGUGUCAAGAGCAUAUUUAAAUUAAACUAGAUUAAUGAUGAAUCGAAUGUAUCAAACCAAAAACAUAAAAUAAAAAUAGACAGAUACGACUAAUAAUAAUGAAUGACAGGAUUCAUGAGUGGCUGCUAGGUAGUAGUAGUGAUUAUUAAACAAAUGUUUAUUCGUUUCAUUUAUUUAUUUAUUUUUUAUAAAAAUAAAAAUAAAAAUCUUAGUUGUCCCAAACUCUAUAAUGAUGAUAUACUUACACAAUUAGUGUUUGGACAAUAAUAGUUAGCCCUCUUAAUUUUUUAGUACAAGAUGUCAAUAAUAAAAGUUUCCCCGCCCAUCACUAACAUCUCGCCAUCUGUCCCAUUUCGACAGUACAAGAUAACUUUAUUUAUAAAAAAAAAAUCAUAGAAAACAAAGAGAUUAAUAACUGAUUAACUAUAUCAUUUAUAAGAAAAUUGAUCAACGUGCUUAAAUUUUAGAUUUGACUCAUAGUUUUAUACAUACAUAAAAAGACAGUUUUUUUUUUUACAUUAAAAUGAAAAUACUAAGAAGAUGAUAUAUCAAAAAAAAAAAAAAGACAAAGACAAAAUAAAAUAAAAUAGAAAUAGACAAAAAUUGGAUAUAAAGGAUUUUAUCAAAAUUUGCCUUUUUGUUUAACGCGGAAUAAUUUUUGGGAGAGUAUUAAUUUCGUCAAUUUUGACAGUAGUUUUCUUUUUGUUUUGUUUAAGAGAAGGCGAGAGACGAAGAGAAGAGAGUGACUUUUUUUUGGUUUAAUGGUGCUUUUGUGAGAGAUUCCUUGUGAACAAAAAUUCUUAAGGAAUCAAAACCCUAUCUUCUAAUCACAAACCCUAGAUUUUGUUUCUCAAAUUUUUCAAAUUUUUUUCUUCUUCUUCUCUUUGAUCUGUGUCUCUUUCCUUAUGAUUCCCCAAUUCUUUGAUUCUUUGUGAUUCGAGCUGAAUUGUUUGUAGAUCAGAACCCAGAAAUCGAAUUGAACAAAAUAUUGUUCAGCAAAUCGUGUGUAGAUCAGAAGAACCCAAAAGCUUUAAACUUUUUGAUCUGAAUUUGAGUGGAAGCAUCGGACUUUUGAGUUUGAUGGAGUGAUGAUUUGAGGGUGGCGAUUUUCAAGUGGGGGGAACGAUGACUGGAUUGGGCGUUCGAUCCAGUAGCUAUGGUUCCUUGGAGAAGACGGGACUUAACGGCGUCGUUUUGCCCAUCCAGACCACUAUUACGACGACGCGUACAAAACCAUCUAAGAUGCAGAAAGAGAGGGAAGGGAUUGUACAUUGGAUCUGCAAAUUCGUUGGUCGUAAGAAGGUCGGCAUGUUGCUUCUCUUCUUAAUCUCCGCCGUCGUCUUCCUUCGCGUCCUUUACGUUGGCAAAGGUUAUCCAUUUUCUCUUUUAUUUCCGACCAUUUUGGGUUGUUGAUGUUGUGGAUUUAGUUCCUAAGUUGGGUUAGCUUUGAUUCAUAUUUGGUUCGGCUGAACAAUUUUAGUAUUGUUUUGAUCAAUGUAUUUGUUUUGGCUUUAGAAUUGUGGAGCCAAAGGUUGUCUAGAGUGGUGAUCGUUAGGCUAAGAUGUUGGAAUGUAAUUCAAUUCAUGACUGAGAAGGUGAAUUGUAUGCUACUUGGAGCUAGAAUUUACUUCUAAGUAUCUAUUUAAGAGCUAGAGAACGGUACUGGUGGGAUUUUGAUUUGAAGUUUAGGAACAAUGCACUUGAAAUUGAUUGUAACUGUUCUUUUGCUUUUGUAAUUAAGGUGAAGAUGGUCAGGAAGUUCAAGGCCCUCCGAGUCUUCAUUUCAAUGGCACUUCAGGCGUUAAUUAUUCUAGCAUGUUACAAGUAAAUGAUGAGCAAAACAUGAAUGUUGGAAAUAUAUCGAUCAAGGCAAAAGAUGUUAUAGUGUUCCCUCCUCCUCCUGUGUAUUUUCUUGGCUAUUCGCUUCCUCAAGGACAUCCUUGUAACAGUUUCACCUUACCUCCACCACCAGCAGACAGAAAAAGAACAGGACCACGCCGUAAGAUAUUUACUCUUGAUUUCUGGUCUCUUUCCAAUUUGUUUUUUUUUUUCCGAGAUCACUACAAUAUUGUUGUUGUGAUGAUUAAGAUCUGAGAUUUACUGUGGUAGAGUCGUUUUGUAAGCAGUAUUGGGUUGUUCUGCCUGGUUUUGAUUUCAGCAUGCCCAGUAUGUUACCUCCCAGUAGAAGAAGCAGUUGCCUUUAUGCCAAAUGCCCCGUCAUUUUCCCCAGUUCUUAAGAACUUAACGUAUAUAUAUGAAGAACCACUAAACAGAGAGACAGAGUUUGGAGGGUCAGAUUUUGGUGGUUAUCCUACUUUGAGACAUAGGAAUGAUUCUUUUGACAUUAAAGAAACAAUGAGUGUACACUGUGGGUAAGUAUCUUUGUGAUGAUUUUGUAAUUCCCUGGUCCUUUUUCUGUCUCAUCUUAGUAUAUUUCUGUUUUUAUCCAUGAUUGUUUAAUCAGGUUUGUCAAAGGACCUCAACCUGGUCGAAAUACAGGAUUUGACAUUGAUGAGGCAGAUCUUCUUGAUAUGAAGCAAUGUCGUGGGAUAGUUGUUGCUUCAGCAGUAUUUGGUAGUGUUUGCAUGAUCCUUUUCUAUUUUAUAUAUUCAGUCUUUGUGCCAAUUUUUGCAUGUUUCUAAUGUUAGAAUCUUUCCAUUUCUUUAGAUGCUUUUGAUGAUGUAAAAGCCCCACAAAAUAUCAGUAAAUAUUCAGAGCAAACAGUUUGCUUCUACAUGUUUGUCGAUGAAGAAACUGAAUUAAUUUUGAAGAAAGAACGAGGCCUUGACGGAAACAAGAAAGUAGGGAUAUGGAGAGUUGUUGUUGUGCAUAAUCUCCCUUAUUCAGAUGGAAGACGCAAUGGAAAGGUAACUACAUCUCUCUUAUCUUUUCAAUAAGAAAGUUUAUGGACGAAAGUAUGCAUUUAGUUACUCCAAACUAAAGCAUGAACUUAUUGGCAUGCUAAAUAUUUCCCUUUAUAUGACAAUCUUUCUCCAAAAGUAUUGUACCCACACUGCUGUAACAGUAUCCUUUUGCUUAGAUUAUGCUGAUGCCUCGUUCUUUGCAGGUUCCCAAGCUUCUUGUCCAUAGAAUGUUUCCAAAUGCUCGCUAUUCUUUAUGGAUUGACGGAAAACUUGAGCUUGUUGUUGAUCCAUAUCAAAUUCUUGAAAGGUGAGGCCUAUCAUAUUUUUCUCAAAUAAGAUAAAUCCCAGGAUAUCUGAUAUGGUGUACGUAGUGUUCCCCAUAUUCCAUUGCAACCAUUUUUAAUUGUGGUUGUGUAUGUAGCUUACUGCAGUGACAGAAGUACAGAAUUCCUUUAAUAAUAUUAGUUAAUUCUUGUGGUAGGAAUCUGCUAGUUCCACCCCUUGUUUCUUUCAGACAAGUUUCCUUGAGCAGCUAGCGUUCUGUGCUUAACAUUACAGUAAUGUAAUAAAAAUCAACUGUUUCAAAUAAGUUCACGGUUUGAGUUUAGAAGGCCUUAGGCUUGGUAAGUAGUUUCUGGUGCGAUUUACCUGACAUCUCUUCUCAUCAGGUUCUUGUGGAGGAAGAAUGCUACUUUUGCAAUCUCUAGACAUUACAAACGAUUUGACGUCUUAGUGGAAGCCGAAGCAAAUAAAGCUGCUGGUAAAUAUGAUAAUGCUUCUAUCGACUUUCAGGUGGAUUUCUACAAGAAUGAAGGGUUAACCCCUUAUUCUGUGGCGAAAUUGCCAAUCACUAGCGGUAUGCCUCUUUAGCUAAUCCUUUCUAAAAUUCUCUUUUUCGGGAUCAAAGACUUAUUAUAUACACAACUAUAUGGUUGGGCUAUGCAGACGUACCAGAGGGCUGUGUCAUAUUAAGAGAGCAUGUUCCCAUCAGCAACCUCUUUACUUGCCUUUGGUUUAACGAAGUUGACCGAUUCACGUCCAGAGAUCAAAUCAGUUUCUCAACAGUAAGAGAUAAGAUUGCAGCAAAAACAAACUGGACAGUAAGCAUGUUCCUCGACUGCGAAAGACGCAAUUUUGUAGUUCAGGUGAUUCUUCAUCUCAUGUUGACUUGGUUGUAAAGAAAAGGUAGUAUAAAAAGCCUGACUUUAUCAUUACAUGGUUUGUCUCGGAAACUCAAAUGCAGAGAUAUCAUCGAGCAGAACAAGAAAGAUUUGCAAGGCAACGACCUCCGGUGCCUAAGUUUCCUCCUCCACCGCCUUCACCGCCUCCACCGGCAUUAAUCAGCAGCGAUUUGCCUAGAAAAAUGUCAAGUGGAAGGGUAAGCACAACACCGCCAAGAAGACGUGGAAGAGACAGAAGGUCUGGUCAAAGGGGUCACAGGAAAGCUAACUUGCCUGUAAGAUUACCAGAUUCAGCAUAAUGAGGAGCUGGGGCUUCUCCUUCUUCUUGGUCAUCCACACACGUUCCAAUUUUACCCACACAGUAUGUUUAUUUUUAUUUUUUUUGUUUCUCUAUUUGAUUCUAAGGAUUCAAAAUCAAUUUUUUAAUGUAUAUAUAUAUACACGAACAUUUUGUACUUGGAUAAUAAAUUAUAGUUUUGAAAUUUUGAAGAAAGAUAAAUCUAUNNNNNNNNNNNNNNNNNNNNNNNNNNNNNNNNNNNNNNNNNNNNNNNNNNNNNNNNNNNNNNNNNNNNNNNNNNNNNNNNNNNNNNNNNNNNNNNNNNNNNNNNNNNNNNNNNNNNNNNNNNNNNNNNNNNNNNNNNNNNNNNNNNNNNNNNNNNNNNNNNNNNNNNNNNNNNNNNNNNNNNNNNNNNNNNNNNNNNNNNNNNNNNNNNNNNNNNNNNNNNNNNNNNNNNNNNNNNNNNNNNNNNNNNNNNNNNNNNNNNNNNNNNNNNNNNNNNNNNNNNNNNNNNNNNNNNNNNNNNNNNNNNNNNNNNNNNNNNNNNNNNNNNNNNNNNNNNNNNNNNNNNNNNNNNNNNNNNNNNNNNNNNNNNNNNNNNNNNNNNNNNNNNNNNNNNNNNNNNNNNNNNNNNNNNNNNNAUAUAUAUAUAUAUAUAGAUGUUCUUUCAUAAAGAGAUCAACGUGUUGGACCUGUUUGUAAUCAAUAAUGAACGACCAAUUGUUUUUUAAUUUUCGUACAUAAUGAUAUAAUUCUAUUUUGCUAUACAUGGAUUACAUGCGACUCAUAGUAACAGUACAUACUACAUAGGGUCAAAAUCAAUUUAAAGUCGUCGUAGGAUGUUUAUCUCAGACUCAUUGUUGUUGAUUCAUAAGUUAACUUUUUAAUUGGCUUAUGAUGAGAACUAACUCAACACCAAUUUUGACUAUUGGUCUUAAUGUUGUAUUAACUUAUACGUCAAUCAUGCAUGAGAAAGUAACUAUAGCUACUCCCAUCAAAUGGCUAUUUCUGAAACUUUUAUGUUUGUUUUCUAUACAGAGGAAAUGUAACAAAAUUUCAUCUAUUACACUUAAGUCAGCAUCAUAUGUACUAAAAGUAUGGUUAAAUUGAUUGACUGAUUUAACUUUUUCAUAAUAGAAGCAAAUGGAUCCUAAAUAUAAAUCUGUAAUCAAGUUUACUUUCUUUCUAGCUAGUUUCUUACAAUAAAAUAAAAUAUCAUAACACCAAGUAUACACAAAACGAUAUUUCUCUUUAAUGUAACACAUAAUACAAAAGAUUUGUAUGUUUCGACAAUUCAAGUCAACUCUUUGUUUUGUCAUACAUAAUGUGUGUAGAGCAAAAACUCACACGUCUCUUCUUUUUUAUAAGGACCAUCCUUAGUUGGAAAUUAAAACCCUAGUGCAGCGAUUUGGAAUCGCAAACGCGACCGCUACGUGAUGUCCCACCGUUCCCAACUUCCAUUUGUAUCACACGAUUCAAAACCACAAACAAACAAAACAAAACAAAAACACAUAACUGCGGCAUUGACCCUCUUGAGCUAAUGAUCAGAUAUCACCAAAUACUCUACUACAAAGGACACAAGAAACAUCAAGAAAGAAGCAGAGAAUAAUGAAGUAUGGUCUGUUAAUCAUAAACUGUAUUAUCCUCGCUAUAGGAACAUGUGGAGGUCCUUUGUUAACUCGUCUCUACUACAACAAUGGUGGCAAACGAAUCUGGUUCAUGAGCUUCCUAUCAACCGCUGGUUUUCCAAUCAUUCUCAUCCCUCUCUUCGUCUCCUUCCUCAACCGUCGCCGCUGCAACCGCAAGAACGUAGCAAACGCAGCAAAAACAGAGCUUUUCCUAAUGGAAACUCCUCUGUUCGUCGCCUCAUGCGUCAUAGGGCUGCUCUCAGGACUUGACAACUACUUAUACUCUUACGGAUUAGCGUAUCUCCCAGUUUCCACUUCAUCCCUAAUAGUCGGAACUCAGUUAGCUUUCAACGCUCUCUUUUCUUUCUUGUUGGUCAAGCAAAGGUUCACUCCCUUCUCUAUAAACGCUGUCGUUUUGUUGACUGUUGGUACUGGAAUCCUUGCGUUACACAGCGAUGGAGACAAGCCGGCUAACGAGAGCCACAAAGAGUAUGUGAUUGGGUUCUUGAUGACUCUGAUCGCAGCAGUUCUGUAUGCUUUCAUAUUGCCGCUCGUUGAGCUCACUUACAAGAAAGCUCGACAAGAGAUCACUUUCCAACUUGUGCUCGAGAUUCAAAUGGUUAUGUGCCUUGCUGCUACUUGCUUUUGCGUUGUUGGCAUGUUCAUCGUUGGAGAUUUUAAGGUAAUAACACUUUUCAUGGUAUUUUUUUUAGUAUAAGGGUAUCAUUGGAUGUAUCUUGACUUUUCUUGAAGCAAUAAUAUCUAUAGAUUUUUCAAACCUUAUCUUGUAUUUCAAUAAACUAGUAAUUGUUUUAACAACGUGUAGUUUCAAUCAUAUUUAUUGCUUUGGAUAUUUCAAGAAGUCCCCAUUUCUAUAUAAAAAUCAAUAAUCAGUAUAUGAUCAACUGAAAUCAUUAAUUACUAUACAAUAUAUAUGUUUUUGAAGGUGAUAGCAAAAGAAGCAAGAGAGUUCAAGAUCGGAGGACCUGUGUUUUACUAUGCAUUGAUAGUGAUCACAGGGAUAAUAAUGCAAGGCUUCUCCUUAGGAGCCAUAGGGGUUGUGUUCUGUGCAUCGUCUCUAGCUUCAGGUGUUCUCAUAAGUGUUCUGCUUCCGGUGACAGAGGUUUUAGCUGUCGUUUGUUUCCGGGAGAAGUUUCAAGCUGAGAAAGGUGUCUCUCUCUUUCUCUCUAUGUGGGGAUUCGUCUCUUACUUCUACGGCGAGUUCAAAUCCGGCAAGAAAGUUGUAGUCGACAAACCUCAGCAGCCGGAGACAGAGCUCCCUACUCUUCCAGUUCGUGAUUUUGCUGCUUAAAUGUCUUCAGUAACUGUGUUGUUUUGUUUUUUUAAUAGCAUGAGUUAUUUAGUAUUUUGUUAUUGUUCUUUGUGUAUAAUUAAAUGGUCUAUAUAUACUCUAUAGUGUAAAUGUAUAUGUAUAAAUAAACUUUAUAGAUAUGUAAUAAACGAACAGUUUUGAUAGACGUGUCGUAUCAUAACCCGUAAGACAGAAUGAUAAAGUGAUGUGACAAAAGAAAAAGUUAAAAUUCUAGAGUGGGAGAAAUCUAUAUGAUAAUGUUGUAUCUCGUAAAUUUUUUUAUAAAACAAUUGGAUAAACGUUGAGAAGAUACUUAAUUAGCAUUAAUCACAACAUGUAGAUAUCAAAUUAUAUUCAAUACAAAUUUUAACCUUUAACAUGAAUAAAUUUCGUAUAUUUUUUCUUAAUUUUUGGUAAGGAAAUUAUGCUAUUUAAAAUCAAAAUAACGAUUACAAACAAGAAAGGAAAAAAAGUCAAAGAACCCAUAAACUCUCAAUUAAACCUUCCAAUUAUAGAACUGAAAAUUUAAAUGUCAUGACACUAAAUAUAGAAAGAAAUAAAUCCAGUAAAAAAAAGAAAAAAAAAAACCGUAGAAUUAGUUGAAACGUAAAUUAAAAAUACUCAAAAGAGUAUGGGAAUAUGGAUAUGGAUAUUAUUAUUAUCCGGUCUAUGAGAUAAUAAUUACUACGGUUUUUUAAUACGAAAUAAAAACUGUUAGCUAAAUUUGUGGGCAUAAAAUAGCCAUUAGAGUCUGGCUCUCUAGGUCGGACAAACACAAAGAUCUCAAGACAGAACCUAACCAGACAGUAACACCAACCCGGAUAACUACUAACUCCUCCUAGCUAGCUUGCACCAACCCCCAAAAGUUUUCGUUACCUCUCUCAAGAAAUCACAAAACAUCCAUUUCCAUAUUUUUUUUAGAAAGAAACCAAAACAAGAAAUGGUGAAGGCUCUUGUGAUCAUAACCUGCAUAAUCCUAGCCAUAGGAAACUGUGGAGGUCCUCUGAUUAUGCGUCUCUACUUCAACAAUGGUGGCCAAAGGAUUUGGUUCUCUACUUUCCUUGAAACUGCGGGCUUUCCGGUCAUCUUCAUCCCUUUGCUCUUCUCUUACAUUCACCGGCGCAGAAACAACAAUGGAAGCGAACCUACAAGUUUCUUUCUUAUCAAGCCGCGUCUUCUUGGCGCGGCUAUUUUCAUAGGCAUUCUCUCUGGCUUUGAUAAUUACUUGUAUGCGUAUGGUAUAGCUUAUCUCCCAGUUUCAACUGCUGCUCUCAUUAUUGCUUCACAGUUAGCUUUCAUAGCUAUCUUCUCAUUCUUCAUGGUUAAACACAAGUUCACUCCUUUUACCAUUAAUGCUGUUGUGUUGUUGACUGUUGGAGCUGCGGUUUUGGGAAUGCAUACCGAAACUGAUAAGCCCGCUCAUGAGACUCGCAAGCAAUACGUUACUGGGUUCUUGAUGACUGUGGCAGCAGCUGUUAUGUAUUCUUUGAUCUUGCCAUUAGUGGAACUUGCUUACCAGAAAGCUAAGCAACCAAUGAGCUAUACGCUCGUGCUCGAGGUCCAGAUGGUUUUGUGCUUCCUUGCUUCUAUUGUCAGCCUCAUUGGUAUGUCCAUCGCUGGUGAUUUCAAGGUUAGUCACAGUCUUUUGAAUCUUAAACCUGCAAAAGAGUUUCAACACGAGAUGGUUUGACUUGAACCCUUAUCUUUUUUGUUUUGUUAUUUUUGCAGGCACUACCAAAAGAAGUAAAAGAGUUCAAGCUGGGGGAGGCAGUGUUCUAUGUGGUGGCUGUGUUUUCAGCCAUUAUUUGGCAAGGCUUCUUCUUGGGAGCCAUUGGAUUAAUCUUCUGCACAUCUUCUCUUGUCUCGGGUAUUAUGAUAUCAGUUCUUUUGCCCAUCACAGAGGUUUUAGCUGUCAUUUUCUACCAUGAAAAGUUUCAAGCAGAGAAGGGACUCUCUCUUGCUCUUUCCCUUUGGGGGUUUGUCUCUUACUUUUAUGGUGAGAUCAAGUCUGCCAAGGAAAAAAAGAGAAUUCAGCAGGAGGAGAGUCAGGAGCCAGAACUGUCUUCUUUGCCUAGAACCAUAAGCGAGUGUUAAAACGAAAUGGAUCAUAGAGUUUUUUUAAGAUAUCGUAACACGCAUUUAUAAGCCCUGUAGUUAGAUUAGAGGAUGUUUACAACUUGUGGAACUAUGCCAAAAACACAACUCUCGAGGAGUUUUUUCAUUUUCUUUUCAGCUUUACUUGUUGAUGUCUCUUAUUAUUCACAUCAAAUGAGUUUGUGAUAGAAUAUGAAGUCAAAUCAUGACCCUUGCCCUUUCUGUUAUGCUGUUGACCUGUUCGUUUUUCUAGAUGAAAUUUCACUUGUGUCUGUCUUCUGCUGAAUGCUUCUUCUUUUAUCUUUCAUCUCUCGUGGUGGUUUCAUCCCAUUAACUUGUUGAACAAUAGCACCAGCAGCAUGAUUAACGAGAAGUCGCGUAUGAUCUGAGGACCCGUUCGAUUCCACCUGUAAGUUCAACCAGUAGAGAGCUUCUGGUAAAUCCUGUUUGAUUCAUUUUCAUGAUUCUUCAUUACUAUAAGGAACAAUCACUAGUGAGAGGAGAUAACAUUCAGUUGAAUCAAUAUGUAAAAGCAAAAGCCCCAACAGAUCUUUUAGCUUUUUCUAAUGUUAUUUCCCGGAUACUGUUUCCCCUAGAGCUAGCUUCAAGCUAUUUGAAACUUGAAUGUAUCAAAAAUACAAGAACAGGUCUAUAGUAUUAUUCUACAUGUUUAUAAGAGAACCUAUUCAUCUCAUUUUUUAACUGUGUGUUAUCUAAAUAUAUCUGGUUUUUUAACUCUUAUUUCUAGCAAGCCUAGAAAACGACGAGUAAAGUACAAGCACAACUAAUUCUUCUAUUGUAAUCAACUACAUUCCUCUGAGGUAAAUUAUACCAGAUAUAUCCAUUUAGGUCUAACCAUCAGAUAUUACCCACAUUAUGCUGUUAUAAAUACAAUUGUAAAAAUAAAAUUUACUCACCAACUUCCUUCAGCAGAACCACUCAACUCGUUGUUGAUUUCUUCCUUUGCAAACUCUUCCAGUAUAGUACGCUGGCGUUCAUUCACUUCACUAGAGAAUACAAGGAAAAACGUACACCGCAUUAGCAUAUACCAGAAAUCUAUCAACAUCAGCGAACUUGUUAUAUGAUGAUUCCAAAAAUCAAACACUUAAUAUAGAUUCAUUCUUCACGGAAAUGACAAGAAGAGAAUCCAAACAAACCCACAUGCCACCAGAAUACCAAGUUGCUGAUCAUAUCAACAUGAAUUUCUAUAAUCGGAUGUAAAGUAAGAGACAGCAGGUAAUAUAAAAGAAGAUACCAGGGAAACUAAUUUCGAAAACAUCAACUUUGAGGGCAACAAAGUGCUUGUUUAUUCCAAAAAUAAGUAGAGUUUUUAGCAUAAUGUGGGUGUCUCCAACAAAUUUAUAAUUUGAACUCCAAGUAGAAGAAAUCUUACGUAGGAAAGUUAACUCGGAAACGGACAUACUGAUCUCCAUGGUCUACAAAAAAGCCUUGUUUCGGUAGUCCUGUACAAACUAACCUAUUAAAAAGAGUUCGAGCAAAUAUACAAAAAAAAAAAAAAGAAAGAAAAAAAUUUGACCAUAUAGCCUGAUAAUGAUUUUACCUUUGCCUCUUAAAACAAAAAGUUGACCAGGCUGAGUCCCCUCUGGUAUCUGCAACAAUUACAAUAUGGCACCUCUAUUAUCUCCAAAGGCUUGAGAUUUAAAUUUUCCUCUCGGUAACUUGUAUACUCAAUUGCCAAAUUGUAAACAGACAAAAUAUUAUAUCAAUCUUAUUGGAAUCUUACAUUUAGCUGUAUCUUUCCUGAAAGCGUUGGCACGACAACUUUGCCUCCCAAAAUGGCCUGUCAAGUAAGUUUUCUAAGACAUGUCCAGUAUGGCUCAAGGAAGCAAAAAUAGAAACAACGUAAACCAUAAGACAUGAAAGGAUGCACUUUAUAAGAAAAAUACUUCAGCCAAGGUUCUAUGGCUUGGGGACAACAUACUGCAGCAGCAUGCACUUGAGUUUUAUGACUGGGUGCCAUCAAACUGAGUUGGAACAGAUAUACCACAUUAUAUAGCUAUAGGACAAGAGCAUCCUAUCAUAAUGAUAUAGAUGCCACUUAACUUUUGGCAUAUAAAUCAGUUGAAUAGAACAAAACUCACUGAUUUCAGCUAGACUGCAGACAACUUUUACUAAAUUAUGGUACCACAGAGCUUUAUCAGCUUAGUUGUUAAGGCUUUUGACCACAGAGUGUCACCAUGAAAGGAAAACAUAUGUUUGGAAUGUACUGCUCAGUUUAUAACCCAAAAUUCAGGUGUGCUUACUUGUGUAAAGCUAAUAUUAGCAUCCACAUAUAUAUCUGACCCAUCCCUUGAGAAAACUGAAUCAUUGGCAACCUGUGAACAGAAGAAGAUUAGAUACUUGUCAUCAAAGGAAAAUGCCACAUGCAGUAAGACUCUAAAUGGGCAAGGACGAUGAUAAAGUCUAAUACUACUAAAGAACCUUAAAUAGCAUAAACAAUCUAUUCACUGGAUGUAAAAAGUCUUGAUAAUAUAGUGACAACUGGAGACACUAAACAGGAUAGAGUAGCCAACACAGGUAAAUCUGCGAACAAUGGUGUAGAUUAUUUUUGGAAUGAAUUUAUUUAAAGUCAAUGUGUGACUUAUAACAUGACUUUGACGCUUGCAUCAACUGUCUUAUUUCUUAGGCUGAAUUGAUCAAUGAGACUCAUAUCGUAGAUCAAAGUCAAGGUGGGUUCGAUUUAAACUUCUCUAAGCACCUUUCAGAAAUGUUAUACAAGUAAGAUUAAUGAGGAAAAUAAAGAUGCUUUUAACACACCUUUAGUUUGAUAUACAAGUUCCCAGGUUGAGUUGUUCUUGAUCUUACAUUACCAGCACCUAGGAUUGGGAUCGUAGCUUCAGGCUCCACCCCUAUGAUCAAGUACAGAAACAACAAAGCAAAUUAAAGAUUGACAGAUUCAUGCCAUCAAAAACCAAAUUUUCAUUAUAUGGUCCAGCAAAGUCAUGUAUUAUACUCCGAAAUCACAGUUCUAAAUUCUUUACUGCUACAAACACCAAGUGCAGCUAAAAUACAUUUAACCAGGAAAUGCACAUUGCCACGCAUAAUAUAAAGACAAGCCAGCCAUACAAUAAGUGUGACCAAUAUCAUCUUAACUACACAAAUACUCAGAGAAAGGAACAUAAACAGUGUGAAUAAAACCUUGCCACUCAUUUCAUAGCAGAGUGACAUGUUUUACAAUAAAAAAACAAGUUAAAGAUAGAAAGCAUGAAAAAUUUAAAACUAACCUCCAGGGAUCACAAGUUCAACAGUCUUUGUGGCUUCCACAACACCGGAUCCUCUACAAGACAUGCAGUACUCCUGUAGAGACAGUAAAUAUAUUUGUAACCAGUGAUGGAGAGAUAAUUGAAGUAUCAAUAAAAGACCUCUUUUCUCAGACCUUAACAAUAUGUCCCAAUCCCUUGCACGUCUGGCAUGAUGCUGUAAAAGGAGGAAUUGUUACCUGUUAAAGAGACAGAUAGCAUAGUACUGUAAAUAGAAAUUGUAUAAUUUAUUAAACCUCCAAAGAAAACAAAUAGACUUUAUCCUCUAGUUGGGACUUACUCGUCCAGCUCCCUUGCAUGUUGGACAAACUCCCAUGGCAGCAUCACGAGGGUAGCCAAGGCCAUCUGUAAAAUAAUAAAUGAUGAGAGAUUGGGAGUCAUGGGUUUGCAACAAUAUUACUGUCACCCAAGUAAGUCAUUCGUCUUCUCUAAAUUGGCUAAAUCAGCAAAUUUUCAAAGAAAAAAAGCUGUAAACGUUACAAGAAAAUAGAAAAGAUUAAAAAAGCGAGGCAAAAUCUCUACAUUACAUUUACAUUUACAUUGAUUGAUCACACUGUAAUUAGAAUUCUAUUUUAUUUUAAAACUGUAAAUAAAAACUGUAAGUAGAAUUUUAUUUUACCAUUUUGAGCAACUGAAUAAUAAUGUACAAUGACGAGUUAGGACUCCUCAAAGUGUCUAUACUCUCAAGUAUCUUUACAAGAUGUCGUGUGCACCAUGACUGGCUUUUCAAUAUUAGUAAAUGCAAAAGAGAUGAUAUCUGAAAAUUCUGGGGAUACUCACCACAGGAAUCACAAAAGACAUAUGCAUCAAAAGACAAACGUUUGGUGCACCCUUUUGCAGCUUCCGAAAAAGAAAGCGACAGUUCCACCUAUUCAAGUUUGAACAAGAUAAGGCAGAUAAGCAUGUGUAUUAGUGAAGAGUCCUACACUACAAGAUUUACAUAUGUCAACCAGCUUCCAAUUGUAUAGAUUAAAGAGAGAAUCAGAGAAACUGACCUGAAUAUCAGGUUGAAUCUGAUCAUUCUCAAAUAUCUGAAUCAAGUGUACAAUGUUAGAGAUGUGACUAGUCAGCAGUCACAAAAACAUAUGAGACAAAAUUGGAAACAAAUUUUUAUACUUCAGAAAAAAUCUUGUGGAACGAAUCCGAGAAAUUGGAUUGGUAGGCACGUCUGAAUCUCUCUGUAUCACCACCAUCAUUAUUUACAUAAUCUGAACUCCGAUAGCGCAGCUGUGUAGUGUGAUAACAGAAAGCAAUUUAUUUAGUGAUCUCACCACCAGAUAAGUAACAACAACACAAGCGUACCUUAUCAUAUGCUUCUCUUCUUUCCGAAUUUCCCAGGGUCUAAGUUUGUCAAUCGAACACAAAAGUACAUCAGAAGUUACAUUCAAAUUACAAAGAUGGUUUUAAAUGGGGAGGAUCUGAUGGGUGGAAAAAAAAUACCUCAUAUGCUUCUCUUAUUUCCUGGAAUUUUCUUUUUGCUGAAGGAUUAUUUCUAUUUGUAUCAGGGUGGAAUUUUUUUGCAAGCUGCAAAGUUGUACAUUCACUCAUAAAUUUGAGAUGACAAUUUUACUAAUAGUUUUUGUUUGGUGUAAAAUUGAAGGACAGUUUUACUAAUAACGGACCUAUUGACUCACCUCAUGGAAUGACUUUUUAAUCUCCUCACGGGUAGCUUUUGGAGAAACACCGAGAACAUCAUAGUAAUUACGAGCACUAGAGCAGGAUAUUCCUGAGAAAAUCAUAAUCCAAAACCAAAAGCAUUUAAUGAAUAAAACGAUAACAAAACACACUGUCUCCAUCAAGUAAACAUAAAGGUGAAAAACAAGGACCUGUAGCGUGAAUGUAACGCUCGAACAAUGGCUUCUGAAACCCUGCAAAGUGUCAAGACUUCCAAGUAUUGUAAGCGUAUAAUCCUAUAGAACACAAACAUCAAUUGGAAAUUCUCUAAUGUUAACUACCACUACAUCCUCAGCGUUAUCAGAAGGAAUUAAGCAUUCCGAGUGCCUACAGAAGAAUUCUCUCUAAAUCAACCCACCUUUGAAAGUGCCCAAUACUUUGAUCCCCCUUCCUGGCAAACCCUAAAACCCCAUUUCAGCUAAACUAAUCACUACAUUGGAAUUAUAAUAUACCAAAACACUGACAUUGCCGUUCUCGUGUUGCAUAUACACCUUAACCAGCUCAGAUAAGGCACAUGGAUGUCAAUUUUUGAUUCUCUUGAAAACAAUUACUAAACAAAAAUCAUGAUCUCCGGCUAAAACAACCAUCCCUCAUUCAAUUUACUUUAUCAAUUACCUUGUCGAAAUCCCAACGCGGAAUCAAAUGUUCUUCGUGACUGUAAAUGCCUCAGAACCUACGAAGAAAGGAUUAAACAAAAUAGUUAAGCUCUCUCUCUCGGAGAAUCGAUUCGAAAUCCAAAACUCGAGAGAGGGUGAAAGGAAACAAACCCAGUUGAAUCUUUGCAUGACUCUGUUGAUGAAUUAAAUGCAGAAGCGGAGAGGUUUUGUGUAUAGGGAGAGGUGUUAAACCCUACGCUUAUGCCAGGAAGAAGAAGAAGACCCCAGCAGAGACGUUUGUUAAAUCUUUUUUGCUUCUUCUGCACAUUUUGUCUGAAGUCUCUAACUCAUUCAGAAGAUUCGAAAUGAGAUUUAUGUAAUUUAUUCCAGCAAUACGGUAAAAAUAAAAAAUUGGCAGUAAUUAUGUUUGUGGUGGUAAUUGAAUCAACUAAAAUCGUAGACCGCACGAUAUACGUUGAACCGACUUUGACUUAAAAACAUUAUUAUACGAUCAAAUCAACGACUAAUAAUGACAACGCGGAACUCUGCCAAACAAAUUUAAAAAUUCAAUUAUUGAUUUUUAUUGUUACCUACGCUGCGAAAUUAAAAUUUCUCAUUUCGAAAGAAGAAGCAUCGCGAAGAAGAAGAAAAUCAAAAAUCAUGAGUGGACAAGAGAAUCACGAUGCUGGCCGGAUCUCUUCUACUCCCCCCGCCGCGACGGCGCCUUCUCACUCAUCAGAGUACGCUCCGUACCCUAAGCUCGACACUACCGACGUAACUCCUCCUCCUCCUUCUCAGCCGAUCCCCGCCGCUACCACCAUGCCGCCGGAGUCCAAUCCUUACGUUUCUCCUGCACCUGUUCCCAGGAGUGAGUUCUUCUUUGUCUUCUUCUCUAUCCGAUUUCGCAUCCUAAUCUGAUUUAUUUUUUAUUGAUUGAUCUUGGUUUGGUGGCAGAUACGAUGGAUUCGGUUAAGGAUGCGCUAGGGAAAUGGGGGAAGAUGGCUGCCGACGCUACUAAGAAGGCCGAGGAUCUCGCCGGAAACGUUUGGCAGCACUGUAAGCUUCUUCUUCUUCUUCCCCUUUGAUCAGAUGAAUUGCGAAUUCAUUUGUUUACUCUCUCUUGGAGAUUACAAUAGUAUUGGUUACUUAUGUCUUCUGGUUAAGUUAGUGUUCAUCAAUCUAUGCUUGUUCCUUAUAAACGCCGGAAUCUUGCUUCUCGUUUAACCACCAACACCAAAUCUAGCCAACAAUUUGUGAUAGUUAUGCUAUUCCUUUGGAGUUCAAGCCAAGUUCCUCACACUAUCAAUAAAAAAAGACUCCGAAAAUGCUGAAUUUGUUCAUUCAUAGGUUCUCUGUCUUUGGAUUUUAUUGCUUGUUUUUGUGAAGGAUUUAGUAUUUAUCUACAUAUGGUUAGAUGAUGUUUUAUUUGAACUGAGGGUAUAAGUUUUAUAAAUUCCCUUUGUUCUUUCUGCAGUGAAAACAGGCCCCAGUGUUGCCGAUGCUGCUGUUUCGCGAAUUGCUCAGGGGACAAAGAUAAUUGCAGAAGGUGGAUAUGAAAAAGUCUUCAAGCAAACAUUUGAAUGCCUUCCGGACGAGCAACUUCGCAAGACCUAUGCUUGCUACUUGUCUACAUCUGCUGGUCCUGUGAUGGGAGUUAUGUAUCUUUCGACUCACAAGCUUGCAUUUUGUAGUGACAAUCCUCUCACCUACAAAGAGGGUGAGCAGACUCAGUGGAGCUAUUACAAGGUAUUUUGGCAAUCCUAUGGUUCUUUUCUCUUCGUAGCUCUUUAAUUUGAUGUCUUUUUACAUCUAAGAGAACAAUUUUGAGAUUAAAGAUUCAUAUGAUGUAACUAUCGUAUUAUAUACAGAGAGUAGUAGGUUCAGGGACUCUAGUCAUUUCCAAUGAAUCUAUAUAUACUAAAUGGAAAAGUACAUACUGCUUCUAAGGAUAUUGUUGCGCAUCCAGGUAGAUGCGUGCCUUUUUGUUAUCUGAGUUGACAACUAGGACAUUCUUGGUAUGUCUAAGAGACAAGCUAAUCUUAAAGGAUUCUUGAUAAAAUUAGAGGUGCCAUCAAAUAGUUGUUGGUUUGAGAGUUUUUACUGGUUCAAAUGUAAUGUUUAAGGAUUGUUAAACCUCAAACAUGAGCUGAAAUCCAAUCCAACCAAGCAGAAAACUUCGUGACAAAAGGAUCUCUGCAUUGCUGGUUGCAUUAAGCAAAAAAGAUUUUGAGAUUAGGGUGGUUCCUUGAGAACCUUAAAGUCUAUUUGAUGUCAUAGUUCUUUGACGAGUCUGUGACUGAUGAUAUCAUAUUAAUCAGGUGGUACUUCCGGUGAACCAGCUGAAGGCAGUGAACCCAUCAACAAGCAGAGUGAACACAUCUGAGAAAUACAUACAAGUGAUCUCCAUCGACAACCACGAGUUCUGGUUUAUGGGGUUUGUGACUUAUGAAAGCGCUGUGAAGACUCUUCAAGAAGCGGUGCAGUCACAUGGUCCUUGAAGGUCCACUGGUACAUGCAGAUCUUAGUGGUAUUGUGCAUUAUUAUAUGGAACAGUGUGUUUUAGUCGUUUGAUACCCCAGUUCAAUGUAUUGUGUAGAUUUUGUCCUCUUGGUUUUUGCUUAUAACAUAUUCGUUGCGUUUGUUCAUUUGCUUUUAUAUGAAUGUGACAUCUUAUUUUUUUAUACAAAUCAUCACCCAAUUGAAUCAUUUAUCUUGUUCCACUUAGAUCCAUAUUUGUUCCACCAUGAUCCUUGAUAUUACAUUAUUCUCUGAAAAUAAUGCAAUAUAUACAAUUUAAAUUUGAAAUUAUCUGAAGUCGCUUCUACUUAAGGAACAAGGAUCUUCAAAAUGUUGCAUAUUCAGGUUCCAACAGUGUCACGGUAUUGGUAUCAAAAUGUUACAUCUUCCCAUCUAAUACAGAGACAUAUAAUUAUUGGAUACUUUUUGUAAAUAGUAGAUAAAGAGGGUCAAAAUGUAUGAAACAGAUAAAAGUAUGAGGAUAUUUAUGUUAUUUAUCAGUACUUCCCAGAGACGAGCUAGGUCUUUUUAUAAAAGCCGCCGCUUCAAAGAGCAGAGCAUCAAUCAACCAUCUAUGUGUAUUUAUGUUCUCUGAGAAACUAGGGUUGUGCAGUUCCGAUCCUCGUUGUUCUUGUUUUUGUUUGUUUAUGUUUAAGGUUUAGUUAUUUACGGUUUGAAAGUUCCCAAUGAUCGAACAACCUUUAUAUUUAGUUUCAGCCUUGUCUGAAAAUACAAUGUUGAAAAACCAAAAUUUUCUGAGGGAACUGUAUUUGCGUAUCUCUUUUUUCGUUGCAUCGUUUGAUUGUGGUUUAGUUGUUAUGUGUCUCCCAGUGAUGAUUCGAGAAUAUCUAUAUAUAAGUUUCAGCCUUGUCUGAGAUUAUUCAGUGUUGAUAAGUUCUUCGAUUCUGAGGGUACUUGGAUUUUCUUUGUACUGUGUACUGUGUACUGUGUAGUAUGAUUUAUGUCUUUAAGCCUUCCGCUAAACAAGAGUUUUCGAAGUUGAUUUAAAGUAUUCAGUUGUUUUUUUUUGUUUGUACGUGAAGGAUGAAUCUAAGUCUCAUUUUAUAUAAAAAGUUUUGUACUAUUUUAUCUGAAUAUGUCUUUGUGUGAGAGCUUCUAUAUAGCACAUAAUCAAACCUAGGUGUAAAUUUUUAUGGUUUGUUUUGUUACACGCAGCAUGCUGACGCUAUUUCGAUGCCUUGUUUUGACUUUUGAUGCUCCGAAUGUUAACUGCGUUUUUCAAAAAAUAUAAUUAUGAUAUUUUAUCUAAAAGUAAUAUUUUAGACACUUUAUAUAGAAUUUUGACUCAUCCAAUAGAAAUACUCAAUCAAGAUGUUAAAAAAAAAAAAAUUAAGAAAGAAAGAGGAAACAAAGAGAAGAGAGGGUGUUCAGAUUUUGUUUUCUUAAAUUUUGUUUUGUUUUAUUUUUUUCCCCCAGCCAACCAAUAAAAAUUGUCCACUUCAGUGGAUCUUAUACCCACAAAUGUGCCUUAAAUUAGACACUGAUCCUAACUAUUAGAACCAAAAUUUUAUUAAAACUAGUUAUUAUAUUUUAAGACCUAUCCUAAAACAUCAAUAAAAUCAGCAUUGUACCUGCUCUCAAGUAUGACGUAUCUAUCAAACUAAUGUAAUUUCAUUUUCUAAACAAACUAAUGUAAUUUCAUUUUCUAAACAGACAAAUUAACUAUAGCAUUUGGACUGCUGAUAACAUAUCCAAUGGGCCUUAGGAAAUAGCCCAAAAUCAAAAUAAGCAGGCUUGAGAAUCCAAUUCUCGUCAAGGUCACGUGGAAGGCAGCGGCUGGAUUCGAACAUUAAAGAGUUUCAUUCGUUAACACUUAACACCAUUCAUCACAGAAGAUCAUAUAUAUUCAAUGUAUUGAAAAAGUAUAGCUAAACAAGUUUGGUAUGUGUUUUGGACAGUUGUAACUUUGAGUACGUAAACAUGAUCUAAAUGGUCGGGUUAUGCAAUCGCUUUAAUUGUUUCUUACUUGGAUUAGUUAUAUACAAUAUGACUAUAUAUUUUAAGCAUAAUUCAUUGUAUCAUUCUUAUGAAAUGACUAGCUUUAGAAGUUAGUGAAUGGUCAUUAAGAUUUGAACUUACGUUAAGCCCAUUUCUCCUUGUCGUCUUAUCCUUUUGCUCACCAACAAGCUAACGUCGUUCGAAUUUCCUAUUAAAGUUGUUGUUAAGCAUAUAAACUAUGACUAGUGUGGCCUUACUGCCUACCAAAUCUAAAGAUGUAGCACUUGGACUCUUCUUGUGUUAAAUGAACAUAGUCAGUCUUGCAAUAUCUACAUGUUGGAUGCGUUUAUUCAAUGAUUAUGUCCUUGAAUUUUAAGUUAAUGUUAAACAAUAUAUUUUUCCACGCAAACAACACACCACCACAAAUAAAUAAAGCAAGCAAAUCUAUUAUUCUGUAUUAUGUUUUGGGGCACAGUUGAGGAUACAUGAAUUGUAGUGCGGUCGCAUAAACAUGAUUCUAAUUUCUAGUGCGGUUGGAAAUACAUGAUUUUAGAGUUAGGUAGAAAAAACUAACGUUUGUAUAUACAGUAUUUGUAAUCGUUUGUAGAUCGAGAUUCUUUUGUUAAAACAAAUUUGAGAUCAAGUUAGAUAGGCCUUCGUAUGCUACUACUAGUCGAUGUAUUAUUUAUGUACCAUUUAAACUAGUUCCUAAUCGAAACUUAAAAUGUGACUCAAAAUUUUAUUCGACAAACUAUAAAAGAAGAAGCCUUCAAGGAAGUCCUUAAAAUCUUGAUUUAGCAUACCGUUUUGUAAGAUCACAAUUAUAAGUUGCAUCGGUAAAAAGAAUUAUAUCCGUAGAAAUGCACAUGCUAAUAUAUUUUUGCUAGCUAGUGGACCAAAAUUUUACGUUUAUAGCAAAACCAAAAAGAUAUGCAUAUAACAACGAUGAACAUGAAGAACAUGUCUAUUUAUGUGAAACAUUACCGAACAUUGGACUAACGAACCAAAGUCUACAUGACAUAAGUUAUGUUUUAUCAUCACACUAUUCCUAGGAAAGUUUAUUACAGGUUUCGAAAUAAAAGAGAGAAAACAAAAACACACACACACACACACAUAAAAGCAUGCAAAACGAAAAAGAAGACGAAAAGGAAAAAGGAAGAAAAGAAGGGCGGGAUUAGCAAAUUCAAAACGAAAAAUAAAUAAAGGAAGAACCGAGUCAAAGUAAGGCAACAUAAUUACGUACACUAUUUUUGAUGAUCGGUCAAACUUUCAUCUAAGACCCAAUUAGAGUGGUGGCUGGCUACUACAACUUCUCUUAUACAAUUAGAGGACUUGCAACUUUAUAAACUAUUCUUCUUAUCUAAUCUUAUAGGUAGGAUGUGUGAUACGUUUCGUGAAAACAAAAAAAAAAUAGUAAUUAAUAUAUCAUGUUCUCAGGAUUAGUGAUCAUUGCUCAACUAAGUAGGGGAUUUGGUCUAUCACGUAAGAGAAGAACAAACAAAUAAAGGUACGUGAUAUUAAUAAUUAUAGAGAGUUUUCAGAAAUGUGUGGCUAUUUAAUUACACUUAAGACAAAAAUAACAUAAUGUCAUAAUCGAUUAAAGUUGAAAAUACCUUAAAACCAAGAUUGAAAUGUCUAAAAAGAACACUCCAUACUUCCUUUUCCACCGGUCUAAGUCUUCUUUCUCUUUAAACUCUUUUUUUAUAUAUAUAUUUUUAUGUAUCAUAAUUAAGAGUUUAACUAAUUGCCGUCACGCACGUUUAAACAUAUAGUCCUAUUCUUUAUUCGUAAUUGUUAAUCUAAUCGCUUUUGAAGCACCACAAUGUAACACCUCAACUUGGACCAAAACUAGUCCAUCUAACUUUUAAAACUUGUAUGUGUGAUGAUAUCAUAGAUGAAACAUAAUGUCCAUUAAUCUAUUAUAAAUUGGUGUACCUGUAGUGUUGUUUAAUAUAAGUGAUGUUUUACUUAAUGCACAUAAUUAAAUAAAUAUAGAAGUUUAUCUAAAGUUCAAAUAUACAAUAUUAACUACCAAAACCAGUUGACAAAAAUAAAAAGCUAUCAAAAGAACAUUAAACUUAACUAUAAUUAUUUAUUAUAAGAGUAAGAAAAUUACCAAACAUAUGUAGAAUAUGAUUAUUUAAUUUUUUAUAAGUAGCUAAAUUUCCAAAACACAUAUUAAUUAGUAAGAUUUGAAGGUAUAUUAAAAAUAGCCAAUAAGAGAAAGAUAUUGUUUAAAGUGAAAAAACAGGAAAAAAAAAAAAAAUAGGUGAAAUGAUAAAGAUGUUAUAUUCACUAAAGUAUAAUGAUUUUUUUUGUUUACCAGAUAAAAUGAAAUGAAUGGAGAGAACUCUAUAAAAUAUUAUUAAUGAUUGAAAUGGGAUUAAAUACAUUUUUGUAUGUAAAAUAUUCUCACUGUAUAUAUAUACAAACCAAAACUUCGUCUCAUUUGUUCACACUAAAACCACAAAACUCUCUAUAUCUAUCUCUCUUUCCUUUGCAACAGUUUCUUCUACAUGACCUUCUUCAUCAUCUAGCAGAAAACAUAAAGAACCCUAAAUCCUUUAAAGCUUAAACCCUAAAUCCAGUUAUAUUAAAUGGGUCAUGAUAACAUCACAAAGCUCGGUAGUCUACUCGUAAAGCUACACAGAGCUCCUUCGAGUUGGCUCUGUCUCCAUCCCCGACCAGACCGAACCACCACGGGCGUCAACAACCAACGACGAAUCAAGCUCGUCAGAUCCGACGGUUCUUUAGAAGUAUACGAUCGUCCCGUAGUAGUCUCAGAGCUCACAAGAGACUUCCCAAAACACAAAAUCUGUAGAUCGGACUUGCUCUACAUAGGACAAAAGACCCCUGUUCUGUCUGAAACCGAAACACUGAAGCUCGGUCUCAACUACUUCCUCCUCCCAUCAGAUUUCUUCAAGAACGAUCUAUCUUUCCUCACCAUCGCCACACUUAAAAAUCCUCAAAACGGUGGCGUUCUGGUGAAGAAGACUCAGAAGCAGCCUCAGCCUUUUCUUAUACAGAAGGGUGAGAAAGGAGAGCGUUUAAAGAUUCGCGUGUCUGAAGAUUUCUUGUCGGAGCUGAUGAUGGAAGGAAGAAGAAACAGAGCAAACCAAGAAGAUGGAGACGAAGAAGAAGGAGAAGGAGAAGGUAGAGUUUGUACGACGGUGAAGUUAAAGAAAGAUUAUGUUCAACUAGUUGGUUUGCGUAAAUGGAAACCAAAGCUUGAGACGAUAACAGAGACCAAGGCAAUGAAAGCAGCAGCUGCAGAGAAGACGAAGAAGAAACGAAAGAGGUUUACUGUGAUGAAGAAGAAGUCUCAGAGUGAUCCAUCUUCGAAGCGUAAGCUUCAAUCCAAAUUCAAGUCCAAAACCAAGAAAACUAAUUCUUAGGAAAAUAGAAUAAUUAAUAUUUGUUUCAAAUUAAUUAGCAGAUUGUUUGGUGUGUGUUGAUACAUAGAAAUUGUUGGAUUUGAUGUAAAGAAACUGAGAUUAAACAAAACAAAACAAAAGAAAUUAACCAAAAGGGAUAAGAAUUGUUUUCCGAAUAUGUUGGAUUUUUUGCAGUUUGUUGUGUUAUAAUUAUCUCAAAUUGCAAACACUAAAACACUAAUUUUGUUUGUAGUUAGUAAUUAAUCAUCGUUGAACGUCAAAUAUGUUAAAAAUGUAUUUUUGCAUGAAAAUUAUGAGUUGCAUUUUUUGGGUCUAAAAGAAGUUGCUUUCGUACAUAAUAACGUUGGAAUCUUUCCAACAAAACCAUUCAAAUAAACUAAGUUUGAAUUAUUAUGAACCUAUGGAUAAACUUUGUCAGGCAGGGAAAACAAAAUAAGUGUUUUUCUUUUUGCUUCUAUUUUGGCAACUUGGUUUUUAUUGGGGUUUUAAGUUUUUUUUUUUCUUUUUAAAAAAAAAUCUGAAAAUAUAAUAACCAAAGAGGAAUAAAAUAGAUUAUACAAUUUGUCUUUAGUUACCGAUUUCAGCGACCAAAGCAUAACUAUUAUUUUAACAAGAACUGUUCUAUUUUUUUUUUUUUCUGAAAAUGAAACUGAAAUUUGAUUUUGUCAGUUUCUGUCGAAUUUUGAAUACAAUAAUUCGAAUGCAAUAAAAUUAUUGAUAUAUGUUUGGUCAAAAAUAACUAUUUCCUUAGAUAAAUAUUUGUAAUUUGCAUAUACAUAAUUAUUUCUAUUCAUAUUGAAAAUGAAAAAAAAAAGUCUUUGACUGGAAUGUGUUCUCUUUUCUACGAAUAAAAAUUGUAAGAAACAAAAACUGAAUUUAACGAAAUUAACUUCACUUUCAUUUCAUCAUUUUUGAUAAAAAAAAAUAUAUAUGUAAGAAAAAAUAGAAAGAAGCAAAACUGGUAAAAGCUGGUCGUAAUUUGUGAUAAAUGUUUGAAUGGGAAAAGAGAGAAAGAGAAGGCACGUGUUUUGUUUGUAGAAGGAUUUUUUAAAAACUUUUAUUUGUGUGUGUGUGUGUUGUGUCAGUCUCGUUAUUUGAUUUUUGUGUGAAAAAAGAGACAAAAGAGUAGUCAAAGAAAGUCACCCAAAAACAAAGACAUCUCUCUUUUAUUUUUUUCUUUUAUUUUUUUCUUAUUAGAAAAAGAAAAGCUCUGUUUCAUAUAAAUAGUAAAUCUAAAUAGUAGCAGUAGUAGUAGCCUUUUGAUUCACGACGAUGACGACCCAAUAAUUUCGUUCGAUAUAUAUAAAUAAGUUAGGUUUACUGUAAACAACAUAUAUAUCCUCUACAUUAAUGCAAUAUAUAAUACCAAAUUAUCUUCUGGAAUGUGAGUGGAUUGAGACGCAUUGACUCCAUGUUCAAUCUUUGCCUAUCUUCUUGGAAACCUAUUUUUUUCUUUGUUUUCUUUGGUUGGGAUGAGUUCUACAAAUUUUAUCAUCUCUUUUUUUAUAAUAAGAUCCUUACACAACAACACUAGUUGUUUCCGUAUUAUUUAUCAAAAUCUAAUAGGUUGCAAAUUAUCUUAUCUGCUGAAAGAUACUAAAAUAACGUACAUUUCUUUUUAAACACAAAGUAGGAGAAACAAAAAAGAUUGAUGGAAUUUUUUUAAUUAUAAUUUGAAAGUUUUAUUUUUAUUUUUUGUCAUUGUUUGAAAGUUUCUUUAGAAACAUAUAGGUGACUUAUAAAGACUAAAUAAAAAGUAAUGAAAUGCCUUACUUGGUAAUGAAAAUUGCCUUUGGUGCAAAUUUAAAUAUGUAUAUGGUUUGUGCCUGCCUAGUCCAAACUCUCAAGUACCCGCACAUGUGACAUGCAUUAUGCAUAUCCUUUUAUUUUUAACGAAUCCAACAAAUGUGAUCGUAGUUUUCUUUCUCCUUAAACACAAAUAAGUUUGUGUUCUUUUUUUUUUUUUUUUGUCGACAAAUAAGUUUGUGUUCUUACCCGCACAUGUGUUGCAAACUCUUUAAACAAUGUGAGAUCAUAGGAAAAUUCAAAAAUAUAAAGUUUUGUGUUAUUUGCAGAAGAUCAUAUAGAGUUAGUAUUGGCUGAAGACAAAACAUAAUAAAGUUAGUAUUGGCGUGGUUAAUGGGCCUAUAAUGAGUUCGGGCCUUUUCCGUACAUGUGAAGUAAAGAGUUUCCAUUUUUGGAAGUGAAUUUUCGUUGUAAAUACGGAAAGAAAGGACUGUUUAAUUCUCUUUGUCUCUUUAUCUUCUUCAUCGUGAAAACCCUAAAUCGAUGAAGCGAUCGUUCCAAGGAUCCAUGCUAGCUACGACGGAGAAGGAGGUUCUCGAUCCCACCGUUGUUAAGAAACCCGUCUUCCUCACCAAAGCUCACAGAGAAGAAUUAGCCCUAAAACGCCGCCACGAUGAAACCGAGGAUCGUCAUCGCCGCCUCGUUCAGAUCACUAGCUCCAAUUCCGAUAAUAGCAAUGGAAACCGUUACCGAGAUCGGACAAGAGAACGAGGCCGCGACCGUGACAGAGACAGAGAGAGAGAGCGUGAGUUUCGUGAACGUGAAGGCAAAGCUAGGGCUGAGAAAUCAGUGAAGUUAGAGCGUGAGAAGGAGAUUAACGCCAUGAAAGAGCAAUACCUAGGAACCACGAAGCCUAAGAAGAGAGUCAUCACAAAGCCGAGCAAGAAGUUCUGUUUUGAUUGGGAGAACACUGAAGAUACUUCCAGUGGAGAUAUGAAUGUUCUAUACCAAAACCCUCACGAAGCUCAGCUUCUGUUUGGAAGAGGGUUUCGCGCGGGGAUCGAUCGCCGUGAGCAGAAAAAACAAGUGGCGGCUAAGAAGCGUGAGGAAAGAGAUAAGCACUGGAGCGAGAAGAAGUUAGAGGAGAUGAGUGAAAGAGAUUGGCGUAUUUUCAAGGAAGACUUUAAUAUUUCUUAUAAAGGAUCCAAGAUUCCUCACCCGAUGAGAGAUUGGGAAGAGGGUAAGCUUAGUCCUGAGCUAUUGAAAGCUGUGGAAAGAGCUGGUUACGAGAAACCUAAACCUAUUCAAAUGGCAGCUAUACCUUUAGGGCUUGAACAGAGAGAUGUUAUCGGCAUUGCAGAGACUGGUUCAGGCAAAACCGUUGCUUUUGUUCUGCCGAUGCUAUCUUACAUAUCAAGAUUGCCACCAAUGAGGGAAGAGAAUCAGAGUGACGGUCCUUAUGCUCUUAUUCUUGUUCCUACAAGAGAGCUUGCAAAGCAAAUUAAAGAAGAGACUGUUAAGUUUGCACGCUAUUUGGGGUUAAAAGUGAUCUCCAUCGUUGGUGGGGAGUCCAUUGAGAAACAAGCGUUGAAGCUAUCACAAGGAUGCGAGAUUUUGAUUGCCACGCCUGGUCGAUUGCUAGAUUGUCUUGAGACAAGGUACGUGGUGUUGAACCAAUGUAACUAUUUGGUUCUUGAUGAAGCUGACCGUAUGAUUGAUAUGGGUUUUGAGCCACAGGUUGCAGAAGUGCUAAAUGCAAUGCCUUCAAGUAAUUUGAAACCCGAGAAUGAAGAUGAAGAGCUUGAAGAAAAGAAGAUUUACAGAACUACGUAUAUGUUCAGUGCCACAAUGUCUUCUAGUGUAGAGCGUCUCGCUAGAAAGUACAUGAGGAAUCCAGUCGUCGUCAACACUGGGGAGACCACAAAGCUGGUCACUCAACUAGUGAUCAUGAUCAAAGAAUCAGAAAAGUUCUCUAGGUUAAAGAAACUGAUAGAUGAACUCGGUGAUGAGAAGACAGCGAUUGUGUUUGUGAACACCAAGAACAAGGUUGACUUCAUCGUCAAGAAUCUAGAAAAGAUAUCAAGGUGUCGUGUGACAACAUUGCACGCAGGGAAGUCGCAAGAACAGAGAGAUAUCAGCUUAGAAGGGUUCAGACAAAAGAGAUUCAACGUUCUUGUUGCAACAGAUGUUUUAGGCCGUGGGCUUGAUAUUCCUGAUUUGGCUCACGUCAUCAACUACGAUAUGCCUAACGCAAUAGAUAUGUAUACGCAUAGGAUUGGACGAACUGGACGAGCAGGGAAGACAGGUGUUGCGACAACAUUCUUGACUCUCGAGGAUAAAGAUGUGUUUUACGGUCUGAAGCAGAAGCUUGUUGAAUCUAAUAGUUUGGUGCCACCUGAACUUGCGAGACAUGAAGCCUCUAAGUUUAAACCAGGAACCAUUCAUGAUAGAUUCUCCCAUUUUUAGGGAUAUGGUGUUAGUAAUGUUACUACCGAUGACUUUGUGUUCACUAUAAAUUAUGGAAAAGCACUAUACAACUAUCUAUUCAUUUAUAUAUUGCAAUUGAUGCUUUGCAUAUGCUUUUGUUGGUUUUGGGAUCAAAUCAUUGUUCUUACUUCAAUGAAACCGAAUCCAACACCAAGGUAGUACUAUAGUAACAAAUGAUAGACUUCGCGAAUCAUACACGAAGAAACAUAAAAGGAAAGGUACUUUGGUGAAACAAAGCACGAUAAAACCACACGUACAUAAAAAUAUAUAUAACUCAGAAGUUUAUACCGGAACCUCCAAGUUUCUCCUCGAUGAUCAUAUCAAUUCUCUUCUCCAUUUCAGGAGUCAAAUAAUUCUUCGAGUCACCAACUUGGCCUUUACGGAAAAAAUUCUUGUGAUCAACUCCUCCAGGUGUUCUUCCGGUCUUGUUGAUCUCCAAAUUCUUUAGGUUACUAAAUGAGCAAAGAUCUAAGAUCUCUUCAAUAGAUCCGUUCUCUUCUUCUUGCAACGUAAAAGGACAACCCAAGAACUCGGCAAGUUUCUUGAGCUGAGCAUGAGGUUCUGUUUUCAACUCCUCGUACUUCAAGAAAAGCACAUGUUUGGGGUAUUCUAAGCUUCCUCUCCAAUAGCUCAAGACAUGUUCCCAAAAGGGUCCGUAAUAGCUAACUCCAGUGCAAAACGACUUAAACAUUGACUUCAACGAGUUUUUCUCUUCUUCUAUCUCUUGAUUUGCACACUUGAAAUACCAAAACGAAACCAACACGUCUUUCACGUUCCUCCACACGUACACGAUCUUACAAGGAGAGUUCUUGAGACCUUCUUUAAGCGUUUGGAAGGGAACAUGAGUCGAGAAUAGCCUCGGGGAUGAUGAGAUAUUGCUCAGGUCUGGUUUCGAGCUUUUCAGGUACAGUCUGAGCUCGAAGAAUGGUACUAGGCUAUGAGGAUUAUCAAGAACAAGAGGAUGAUUAUCAGAAGAGUGUUUGGAUCUCUCGAGGAGAGCAACAGUGAGAGCUUUAAGCCAAGUAGUGCCUGAUUUAGGGAACGAAGCAACAAUUAUGUCCGUGUCUUGUGGCUCGAAAUCUCGUUGGAAACUGAGGAUUGCUUGCAAAGUUUUUUCGUUGUACCAACAUCCUUGGUACUUGAACAACUUCGUGCCUUCGAAGUCUAUGUCUGAUGGAAGUGAGGAGAUCAAAUUUAUGGUUUCUUCAUCAUCUUCUCUCGGCAGGUUCUUUGAGAUCUCCUUAUCCAUUUUUUUUCUUUGUUUGGCCUGUGGGUUGACUUUUUCAAUCACAAAACAAAAGUAUACAUAUACAACAUGAUAAGGAUGUGUACUGUGUCGUAGGCAGAAUAUUAUUUUUUUAAUAAAAAAAAUAUUUUCUUUCUUUCUUUUCAAGUUCAACAAACGCACUUGUUAAUUAUUAUGGAAAUAUAUAUAUUCUCCAUUAGUAACAACUAAUGCUGACAACAAAAGGAGAAUACCACUCCAGAUUAAAUAAGUUUAGGUGUUGUGCUGUUCAUAUACAAUAAUUUUCUAAUUAGAUAUAUCGAACGCAACUGAUAUUCGAUUUUGGUUUCAAAAGAAUUGUUCUAGAUAAGUUUAACGAAACCAAAUCCGACAUCAAAAGUAGUAAUUAACAAGAUGAUAAACUUAACAACGACAUAAGGCACAUUGAUCAACGAAAGCACAAUUAAACGGCACAUAAAAGAUAGAUAUAUGACAUAGAUAUAACUUAUAAAUAUUUCAUCAUAUCCGAACCUUGAAAAUGUUUCUGGAUGAUCAUAUCAAAUCUCUUCUCCAUUUCAGGAGUCAGAUAGUUCUUGGAAUCACCAACUUCGCCUUUACGGAAAAAAUUCUUGUGAGCGGCCCCUCUAGUGGUUCUUCCGGUCUUGUUGAUCUCCAGAUUCUUUAAGUUACGCAAUGAGCAAAGCUCUAAGAUCUCUUCCACGGAUCCUCUCUCUUCUUCUUCCACCGUAAAAGGACAACCCAAGAACUCAGCAAGUUUCUUGAGCUGAACGUGAGGCUCUGUUUUCAACUCCUCAUACUUCAAGAAAAGCACACUCUUGGGAUCUUCCAAGUUUCCUUUCCAAUAGCUCAAGACAUGUUCCCAAAACGGUCCGUAAUUGAUGACUCCGCUGCAAAACGAAUCGAACAUUGACUCCAACAUGCUCCUCUCUUCUUCUAUCUUUAGAAUUGCGCACUUGAAGUACCAAAACGACACCAACGCGUCUUUCACGUUCCUCCACACGUACACAAUCUUACAAGGAGAGUUCUUGAGAGCCACUCGCAGAGUAUGCAACGGCAUGUGAGUGGAGAACAGCCUCGGGGAUGAUGUGAUACUGGUCAGAUCUGGUUUCGAGGUUUCGAGGAAGAGUCUCAGCUCGAGGAAUGGUACUAGGCCGUGAGGAUUAUCAAGUAGAAGAGGAUGAUCAUCACAAGAGUGGUUAGAUCUCUCAAGGAGAGCUACUGUAAGAGCUUUAAGCCAAGUAGUACCACAUUUGGGAAACGAAGCAACGAUUAUGUCAGUGUCUUGUGGCUCGAAACCUCUUUGGAAAUUGAGGAUUCCUUGGAGACUUGUGCUGUCGUGCCAACAUCCUUGGUAUUUCAACAGCUUUGUGCCAUCGAAACCUACGUCUGAGGGAAGUGCAGAGAUCAAACUUACAUUUUCUUCGUCGUCUCCUCUCAGGUUCUUUGAGAUCGUUUUCUCCAUUUUUUUGUUUUUGUUGAUGUGUGGUUGACUUUUUUUAUUUAUUAACGCUCUUUUAACGUUAAUGAACAAGUUAAAGCAUGUUGUUUUACCCAAACGUCUUGUAGUAAAUAGUAUCAAAUAUUAUUUAAUAUUGGUGAGAACCAAAAUAAACAGACCUAAUUUACAGCUACAAAAAGCCAUGUAGCGAAACAAAUAAUUAAAAAAUUUAAAGCAAUCGUUACUUAUUACACAAUGGUAGGCGUUACGAGGAAAAUAAAAAGCACUUAUCAAGAGAAUCUUAAAUUCAUUUGGUAAGUACCUAUUACAAAACAUUUGAAUUAUGAGAGAAACAUAAUAAAAGCGAUAGAGAUGAUACACUCUCUCAUUCCAGUCCAUAAUAAAGGCGAGAAGGAUAGGGAAUACAUAUCAAACAAGAACGACAUAAACUUGGACAAUGUAACUCAGUAUUAUUAUUGGUAGAAGAAUGUAGAGGAUACAGAAUCAAACCCUUCUGUUCCACUCUGACCAAUACUGUUUUGAUCCACAAAGCCAUCGAGCUCAAAUGCAAACGUAUCCAUGUUUGUUGCAUGGGCUACAUUCCAAUAGCUAUUGGUCUCCGGAAUCCUGAGCUCAGCUCCAAAACAAGUACUUGGAGGAAGAGGUGGGAGCUCAUGAUCACAUUGCUCAUCAUUACUAUUUAUAGAUUGAUAACCACAUUCACUCUCUUGAGGCCACCCGUUGUAUGAGAAUUCAAUAGCGUUUUGGCUUUGGUUGUUGGACGAUGCGUAGAGAUUGUUGUUGUUGGUGCUAAGAGCUACUUGCUGGCUUGGAGGGUUGAAUAACUCGGAAAUGAAACGUUGGGAUUCAUCAGGAGAGAUGAAGGAAGUUACUGAGGAGCCACGAGGCAUAUCAGAGUAGACAAAGUUGGUUCGAGCAGUCAAGCCUCUUAUGGACCGUGCGGCUCUAUCAUAGGCCAGUGCAGCCUCCUCGGCCGUGUCAAAAGUACCUAGCCAAUACCUCUCUUUCGUAGUCGGGUUUCUUAUUUCAGCUGCGUAUCUUCCCCACGGCCUCCGCCUCACUCCUACGUACUUUAUUUCUUCAUUAUGUUGUUGUGGUUGUGGCUGCGAUUGUUGCUGCUUUUGCCUUUGGCUCUUUUUUGAUCUAGAGGACGACGAACCAGCAUUUGAAUUGCCAUUGAUCUCCAUUGUUAACUAAUGUAUUUUGCUCAAAACACUCAAUAUGUGAAAUGAUAGAGAGAUAAUUAGAAAUGGUUGGAUUUAGUUAUGUUUAAAGAGUGAAUACGGGUUUGUUUAAAUAGACGAGAUCACCUUCACUAUGAGUAUGUGUAUGGACCCUCUCUUUUAUUCUAAAGGUCCUUUUAGAAUUCUUUUUUAGAUACGAAAAAGUGAGUAGUCACAUGGAAAUGUGCAAAAUCAGAUGAUCAUCACCAUCUAAUCAUAAGUGAAAGUGAAAUGAGUUUGUGGCUUUUAGGAUUGGCCCUAGUGAAUCAUGUAGGAUUAUGAACCAAUCUGCAAUGGAUUUUUAUUUUCUUUUUUCUUUUGCUAAUCUUUUUAUCUAUUUUCUCUUUAGGCAUGCUAUUAUUUUUUUAGGAACGUGAGAUUCUUCGUGGCUUAGUUAUGAUCACUUGUAGUUGUAAUAUGUUUUCGCUUUCAAUUAUGAACUUUAAUCAUUUUAAGAAUCUCCUAAUCAACUUACAUUUUUUUUUUUUUUUUUUUAAACCAAAAUAAAUAUAUAAAACUUAAGAGUAGUGAUAUAUACACACACUGACACACAAGUAACUAUUUUAUUUGAAUACCUAUUGUUGCGAGUUUUACGGUUGUUAUUAUGAUCUAUUUGUAAUUGUGAAGCAUAAUGACACAUGCAUGCACUAGAUAGUCUCACAAUUUCAUAACGAUUUUGUGAUGAUAUAUAAACUAAUUUGGCAGAUUUGUGACGACAUAGCUAUGCUAUAUAAUAUAUAUAGUGUUGCAAUUGUAAAGCCGUCGUUUGACUUAAUCUAGCGACCUUUGUUUCUGAAAUUGCAUUGAAACGACUACACAUAUACGAGAUAUGUUUUUUUUUUAGAAAUGGAACUUCCCUUAACUAUUUCUUUUUUUCGCGAAUUUAUAUGUUUUUAAAUUUGUACAAGAUCGAGUUUUUCCUAUGAAUAUAUGUGUGCCACUUGAUGAAAUGAUGGGCUAAUCACAUGCUUUACAAUACUCAUGAUUGCAACCCUCGCAAUCUCUCGGAUCCAAAUUAUUAUUUUCAUUUCGUUUAAUCAUGAUUUAUUCGAUAUUAAAUUAUAUACAUGAUUUCACAAGGACUAACAAGAAAGCAAUUUAUAUCUAUAUUAUUAUGGAAACUUUACUAUAGAAAACUAUUUGUUAUAUCGUUUUUCUUAUUUAAAUUCUGUGGCGCUUCAUAUUGACUAUUCGAAUGCUUUAUAUGAUUAGUCGCAUGAACUUGAACAUGUUCAUUAUCCAAGAAACAAAGAGAUACAUCGUAUGAUAGUGCAUAUCGUGUAUAAUUAAUACUUUAUGAUGUUUAUAAAGGAUUGAAGAUUGAAUUAUAUAUGAUUCUCAAACUCUUUAGCUAAAUCAAUCGUAAACCACAAAAUCUUAUUGUUCUUAUAUGCUAAACUUGAAUGUUACACUUAUAUGUUUUAUCACACAAUAAGAUAACACAAACUAAACUAGUAAUGUGAUUUAUGGAUUGAAUCGGUCAAAUCGAUAAUUACCCGACCUUUUGUUAUACUUAUACGUUAACUAAACCAAAAUAAAUGAUUACAAUUCGAGGAAAAAGUUCGGUUAAUUAAUGGUUUAGAUACGGGACAACGUUGGAUAACCGAAAUCCACAAAUUUUGAGAAAUCUCUCGCUGUGGGUUUGGUCGGUGGUUCAGUCUUGAGAUAAGAGAUAACUUUCUGAGCGCCGAGGAAGACGAAACGAUGGGUUUUGUCUUAACCUGUACUUGUCCCCCUUCCUCCUCGCUCCUCGUUGUUUCUCAGCUCCAUCAUCACCAGGUAUGUUCAGCUUUGUUCUUCGUCUUCUGAUUUGAUUGUUCAGUUGACAAAUUCACAUUUUUGGGUCACAAUUCAGUUCUCCGCCGGAGUAAAAAGCUGCGAGCUUUGGCGUCGUCCUCAGUUAUCUCCUCCGACCCGUAGAGCCCUAAUUUCGAAUUCACGUUGUUUCAAUCUCCCUCAAGAACCCAUUCUCUCCGAGGCUCUCAAGGUUCUCUUUUUUUUCCAAGUAUCUAUUAAUAGGAUUUGUGUGAUGCGAAUUAGUUGAAAUUCAUAUAUGAGUUGUUCCAGUUUACAAUACGUAUGCCAAUUUCUUGAUGUUAUUUUGUGUUCUUGAUCAAUCUUGGAUAUGAGAGUACUAGUUAAGUGUUACAUUGUGUAUGUGUGUUUUCGCAUUCGAUGAUGUUUUGAUGCAUCUAAUGCUCUGUAUUGCAUUAUGGUUGCUUGCUUGUAGGAGCCAAUUGCAUUUGUGGGUGGGAUGUUUGCUGGACUUCUAAGACUUGAUCUAAACGAAGAGCCGCUCAAGGAUUGGGUGACGCGAACUGUUGAAGCUUCCGGUAUUAUGGAAGAGGGAGCUGAUGCGGUUGGGAUGGUCUCGAAUGACGAAGAAGCUCCUCAACAGAUUGAGAUUGAAUGAGGUCUGAGCUGUAUAUGAAUGAUGUCUCUUAUAUCUCAUUGGACCACAAGCAACUGUGAUUUUGGUUCUGCAGUGACCGCCUUUACCAUAUGCUAGGAUCUUGUGUAAUGUAACCUUGUGUUCUUGAUGUAAAAAUAAUCAGAAAUCCAAACAACAACGUUUCAUCUUGAUAUCUUGCGUGUCAUGCGUCUUUUACUCAGCUCUUAUGCACAACUUUUACAUUACACAGGUAUGCACUAGUUUAGCCAACAACCAAAAUCUUGGUUGAUCCGGAGAUGAGCUUAUAUGAAGAAAAAGGAUUUCAUAUUUUUCUCUUCCAAGAUAAGAUGUUAACAAGAUUUAUGAUGUUACUAGAAUCAAGAUAGUGAUUAUAACAAUAGGUAUACUUCAUCUUGAUGCUCGGAGUGGUAGAGAUCAGUUGAAUCAAAUCAAGCUAACACACCAUGGCUUCUGCAUUGUCAGAAAGAUGAGGCGUCAAAUCUGACAACAUAGAGCACAAAGAUUUAACAUAUGACUCUGUAUCAUCCAUAGUCUAAGCUUUUAAACUUGGGAAAACUUUAUUUGUGUGGCUCUAUAGUUGAAACUUGAAAGCUUUGUUACUGUACUAAUUCUUUCAUCCAAAUCAAGUAAUCAACCGAACCACAUCAUAACCAAAACGACAGCGUUUAGACACCUCUGAUCUUUCACUAGCUAAUUUAGCUAUGCCAAUGCCAGGCCAAACCGGUACGACUUCUGUGAAUUCAAUUCGUGACCAUGGCCUCGCGUUUGUUAUCGACGACGACACUCAUCACACCGCCGGCUAAUCUCUACAAAUCACCGGCGUAUUUGACGGCGAGAGUUGGGGUGAGAAGGCGAAGGGUUAACGUUAGAGCUCUGAGCGAUGGUUCGCAAGGAGCCGUCGAUGGAACUGUUUACAAAGGUGUUUACGGUCCCUGGACCAUUGAACAAUCCGAUGUCAAAGAGGUGCUUCUCUUCUCUCCUUACGAUUCCUGCUCAAUUCAUACUAACUUCUCUGCUUUUGGGUUCCUUAAAUUUCAGAUAUUGCGAUGUGCUUUGUUCUCAUUGACAUGCAAGUUGAAUCCUUUUGAUAGUUCUAGGCCAAUUUGUUCAUAUGCUCAUAAUCGUAUAGUGUAGAGGUAGCUCAGAAACUAUGGGGUGACUAAGCCUGUUGAACUUACUGUGGAACUUUGUAGUUAAGCCCUGUUUGUUUAGUAGAAGUUUCAAUGGAAGUUUUGAAAGAGUAUCUUCUGUUCUUCAGGUUAUUCUGUACAGAUCAGGACUAGUCACUGCUGCUGCAUCUUUUGUAGCUGCUUCUUCUGCGGCAUUUUUACCAGGAGACUCUUGGUUAAGUGAAAUAAUCAAGCAAAACCAUGACUUGUUUUACUUCGCUGGUGCUAGUGGUUUGGGGCUAUCUCUGUUUCUUAUUCAUAUAUAUGUAACGGAGAUUAAGAGGACUCUUCAAGCUUUGUGGGCACUUGGUUUUGUUGGUUCCUUGGCCACUUACGCAGCCCUUGCCAGACCAGCAGGUGAUAACUUGGUUCAGUAUGUCGUUGAUCAUCCAACUGCUGUGUGGUUUGUUGGUCCCCUUUUCGCCGCUCUCACAGGCCUCGUUUUCAAAGAAGGUAAAAAUCUUGCAUCUGCAUUUGAGGAUAAAAUGUUUUUUCCUGAUAUUUGGAAACAUACCGAUGUUCUUGAUUUGCAUUUUUGUCUGCAGGACUCUGCUACGGGAAACUAGAAGCUGGCCUUCUUACAUUCAUCAUACCUUCGGUUCUUCUUGGUCAUUUGGUAAAGUAGCUUGUUUGAUUAAGAUAUCAUACUUUAGUUACCUUGAAUCAGACUACUUAGAUCAAAUAAGAACUUAUCAGAAGGCCAAUUUAGCUAUAAACUGCUGCAUCGUUUUUCUAAAGAGAAAACUCACAUUUCCUAAAACUGGGAUCUGGUAUUUGUUUAUUUGGCCUUACUUAAACUGCUAUACUGAAUAUGCAGAGUGGUCUGAUGAAUGAUGAGGCAAAACUGGUGUUGCUAGGAACAUGGAUGGCACUCUUUCUAGUAUUUGCUGGAAGAAAAUUCACUCAGCCUAUAAAGGUACACUGUUCCUCAUUGAAGAUUUGCAUAUUCAAGCUUUCGUAGAGGUCUUUCUAUUUACAGAAGUAUCAAAUGUCAUAGUACCAAUAAUCUAUAUUCUGGUUUGAUUUUUUGAAGGAUGAUAUUGGGGAUAAAUCUGUUUUCAUGUUCAUGUCUCUUCCGGAUGACGAAAAGAAGGCUGUAGUUACAAAACUAGAGCAAGAAAAGUUGGGAUAAUACUCUCAAUGAUAGCGGACUGUUUUAAGUAUCUUCAAGAAGAGGUAAAUAUCUUGUAUCCAUAGAUUAUAUAUACUACUGAGGAGAGAUGCUACCAUAAACAGUUUGUAGAUUGUGAUUAGUAGCCUUUAUUGCAAUUUAUGAAUUGACUAUAUUGCUAUCAAAAUCUUCAUGUGGACGAAAAACGAAUUACCAUUCCCUAAUGGAGAGUUGAUACAUCCCAUCUUUUGGCUGUUAUAAUGUAUCAAACCCAGUUCACUCGGACCCUUAUUUGGACUUGAUUUCAGGUUUUAGGUCUGAUCAUCCCCUUGGUUGAUUUGUUUUUAAUAGUUUCCUCGUGUGUAUUGUGAUGGCCCAGCUCAUUUGAUCCCGCCAUAACUUAGGCUUAAUUUUAGGAUUUUAUAUGGUCAUGGAUUUGGUCUCUAGCCACUAUUGGAAACUGCAAAGAAAUGGGGGUCCAAACCUAACUGUGACAAAUGAAAUAUGGUCCAGCUUGGGCAGACCUAUCUAGAACCAGGGCUAGGUUGUCCGCAGGCUUUCAACCCAAAAUCCCUAGUUAUAAGUUGCAUUUCACCGAGGAGACAUGUAUGAGCAUGUUACUAUUGUAUGGCUUAAGUUGUGAACCAAAGAUCUACUAGGGUAGAAAUCUUUUUACUCCAGUGAUGAACCAACGAGCACAUGAAGUCGCUUUCGAGUAGAAACCUACUGGUUAUUCAUUCAUAAGGAAAAUAUUAUUAGCCAUGCUUGGAGGAAGAAAACCAUUGUUACGACUAAUCUCAGUUGAGAUGCAUGAUCCUGAUAUACAAUUAAGAUGCAUGAUCCUGAAAUACAAUUAUAAUUCUCUUUCCUUGGUAGUCGAUGGUUUUGCGUGUUAUUCGGCCAACAACGAUUGCGAUAUUUGUGGGUUUCCGAAUUGGGGAUAGGAAAAUGCUGAGAAAGAGUUGUUAAGUUUGCAAACAAAGAGCGUGAAAUUAGGAACAAGGUUUUUUGUCGUCGAAUGUGAAUCGGGACAAGCAAUUGAAAGACAGAAGGACACACGAGUGGGGUGUUAAAUGCGGUGUAUAGAGUAGGACUAAUAUGGUCCACUCUUAAGACUCAUGUUAUGGCCACUCUCUCUCUUUAGUCUUGUUGCUUUCUGUCUCAAUCUUCUAGGAGUUUUGUCAUUUAUUAGCAUAACUACAAAGGAUCCAAAGUAUGUAUAUAGAUUACAUGGCUAUGUUUGACCAAAAUGUGACAACUAUGAACAAUCAAUAAUUGGCCAAUGUGUUUUUUUUUAUUUUGUUGAGUCUCAUAAACUUCACAAACCAAAUGAUCAAAUAGCUUAACUAUGAGGAAUAGUUAUUAUUGUAUGUUGGAUAAUCUUUCAUGUAAUGUCUACCAAAUCAAGAUAAUCUUUUCUCGUCUUUAGAAGUGGAAAUAUCAUGAGGUCGACAAAAAAAAAAAAAAGAAGUGGAAAUAUGAGACAAGAAAAGCUGGAUAAGAGAGAGAGAGAGAGAGAGAGAGAGAGAGAGAGAGAGAGAGAGAGAGAGAGAGAGAGGAGAGGGAGGUUGAUGAAGAGAAUCCGACCAAAACUGAACGGGGUAAGAGCAAGUGUUAAAAGGAGAGUCCCUACCACCAAUAUGAGGACGAACUCCAAGUUUGCGUGCGGACGAAAUUGGAGGAGUCGUGUCUAAUGCUGCAUCUCAAUUCGUGUGUCUUCUUCUUAUGUGUGGGUCUCUUCUCUCUCUCUCUAUCCUUUUGUCUCUUCUCUCUAUCUCUCUUCCCCUAACCUUUGAAUUCCUUUUUUUCCUCUUUGUUCCCUCCUCCUGCAUUCGUGGCCUUCUUGUAACCUCUCCCUUUACAUUGGACACGCACGGCUCACAUGUGCGUGAUCUCAUUUUUAUUUAUUUCACUUCUUCCGAACAUAUCAGUGAUAGCUUGAUCAUACUGUAGACCAAAUUCGGAACUGAUCUUGAAAUUCGUAUUAUUGCCAGUAGAAACAUCAAAGAUGGUAAAGUAAUUCUUUGUUGUAGAUCCUAUAUGCAUUUUCUCAUGUAUCGUAGACCUAUUCCGAAAAUCUUAUUCCAUACACAUUAUAGAGAGACGCAGUCAUAAUUUUCUUACCUCUUCAAGUUUCUUUUUGAUCACUUUAUUGUACGUGGUAGACCAAAUUCCAAACUGAUCUUGAAUAUAAUUCGUCUUGCCAAAUGUUGAUGUCAUUUCCUAUGCAUAAAAUAUAUACUCAAAAACGUAAUGAAACAACCGUCCAAUUGUAAUAUUGAUCUCAACAAAACAUUUACCCUUAACAAUGUACAGUUUUUUUUGCGUUUGCAUGUGUGUAUAUCAACGUCAUAUAUAUUCAGCAUCUUCUCUGACUAAAUUUGUAAGAUUAUUAUUGAUGAGUCAUAUCUAUUAAACCUUGCCUAAUGGUGUGACUUAUACCCAACUGUCUACUAAAGAUUAGCUUUCUAUCAAUUUUUGUUUCCAAAAAAAAAAGCAAAAAACUAUAGGUUACGACUUACAAAUGUGGAACGUAAACGUUAAUGAACUAUUUUCGGAAAAGACUACUGUACGUAGAUCAAUAUAUGCCUAACGCCUAAGUUUGUCUCCAACCUAGUUUCUUUAGGGUCUAAUCAAAACUAUUGUGGAUAGAUUCAUAUUACAAUGAAGAAAUGCAUUAUUUGAAUCUGUCAUUAAUUUGACAAUACGUGCAAUAUAUAUAUUUUCCAGACUUACAUGCAAUGAAUAGUUAACAUAUCUUUAACUUAUAUAUUCGAGAAAAAGAAAACAGACAAGAAUAUAUGGGGUUGCAAUGGUUUUGUGUUGGUAGCGAGACGAAAACGACAGCGUCUUUGUUCUGGAGAGCGAUACGGAAAGUAACAUGACAGGACAGUUGAGAAGAACUCAUCGUUUUCUCUUAAGUGAACAGUAAAGUAUGUUCCCUUUUUUCUUUCUUUUGCUUUAAUAUUUUUGGUUGGGGGGUCAUAGAUCUGUCUCUUUUACCACUCCCAUUUACUCCAUAUAAAACAACACAUCCAAGUCUUGUCGGUUUACGUACUCGAAAUAACUCCCACAUUAUAUAACCAUGCUCUAAAAUUUAUUUUACCAUGCUUUAGAGUAGAGUCAUCGCUUACGAUCGAUGAAAUCUUGAAACAAGAAGUGGGUGGGCAUGUAUGCCAUAUUAUAGAAUGAGGAGGAGUGGAUGUGUGCAUAUUAAUUAGCUAUAUUACCUGUUUUGAUUUUAUAUACAUCUCAUAUUCUCAUGUUUCGACAUUUUGGGUAUGUGGAUAUUUGAACGGUUUCAGAUAGAUAUUUUUCCUGAUUUGUUCCAAAGUUUUGGGUAUCCAUCGGAACUAUGGAUGCUGAUACAAGUGGUUUACAAACAAAAACGGUAUAAAUUUAUAAACUAGUAUAAAUACUUUUUAAGAAAUUAUCAUCUUCUUUUUUUCUUUGUUCAUGAUAGUUAUAAGAAAUUUUAACAAAUUUAUGGUUUUGUAUAAAAUCGAUACAUGUUUCAUACGAAUAUAUCAGAAAAUAUAUUCAUCUAAUCAGAUUUUAGAUUUAUAGUAGAUUCCACUUUUUCAUAUUUACACAAAUCGUUUUUUCUACAAUAACUUUUUCCGGUUUUAACUGAAUAUUUUUAAAAGUUAUAAACUUAUCCGGAAAAAAUAAAGCCUGUUUCGAAUUAAAAAAAUUUAAGGCUAAAAAUCUUUUCGAGAGCCAAAAUUAAACAUAUAUACAUUAAAUGUAAAAGAUUUACUUCAUUAGUAGCCCUACCAAAUAGUCAUUUUGUUUGACGUCUAUUUAACCAUUUCGUUAAAAUCAUGAUUAAAAAAUGGAUUGUGAUGUGAAUAGUUGAUAAAAAGAAUUUAUGUUUUCUAGUAUUAUGUAUAAUGAUUCCAUAGGACUAUACAUCGGUUAUUGUUGUUAGAAUAUUGUUAAUUUUUUCUAUUCUGCAGUUUACAUUACAAUACUAUUGAGGCACAUGCUUUACUACAAUUAUGUUUAACCUACUUUGAGCUGAAAACAAAUCCUAGACUUGUUUAAAUGUCAACACUUAGAAGAAAUUAGCCAAUGCUUUUGCAUAAAAUAACUUAUAGCAAUUUCAUAACCAAACUUUUUAUGUGGUUUGAAUUCAACUUCAAGACUUUGUUGUAAAACCAACGAUGCAUUUAUAUAGAGUAUUUUCAAGAUUUUGGGAGAACAAGAACAAUAUGGAAGCGUUGACACGAGAGAAAGAGUUGAGAAUAUGCAAAACAUAAACAAAAAAAAUUUAUGAUGUGAGAAAGAAAUGUGGAUCUCAAUGAUCGAUGUUGCUGUGUGUUGGCUGGCAUAUUAAACCAUCACCAUCUUCAUGUGCAUCAAUACGUCACUCUUCACCUCUCUAUCCAAUUAUUUCAGUCUCCUCUCCUUUUACUAUCUUUUUUUUUAUCUUGUAUAAAUAAACUGAAUAUUUCAUUGAAAGAAAAGAAAGAAAGACGUGAGUUUAUGUAAAGGGUUUGGUACAAUUUUGUACUAUAAAAGAUUAAUGAAUUUACUAACAAAUUAAGAUGGAAUUUGUUUUUUUGUUGUUUUUUUCGAAAAGAGAGGGAGACAGAAAAAAAAAAAAGAUAAAAGAAAGAGACACAAAAAGUAUACAUUCACAAAAUGAGAGGACUUUGCUGAAAGUUUGUUACAAAGGAGACAAAAGAGCAAAAAGAAAAAAACACAAAAUAAUUGAAGUGAAAGAAAAUAAAACACCAAUUAGCAACUUAACAAAUGAGGAUCUUAUACUUAAAAUCAAGACUUUAAGAUCAUAUAUUAAAGAUGAAAAAUUUCUAAGAAUCUAAACCAAGUGGUUCCCAUGUAGGAACUCUCUUACUGAAGAACCUCCCAAUAACUCUGGAAUCAAGAAUCUCAAGAGCUCCUCCUGAUUUAACACAUCUUGGUGUCUUGUACUGGUUCAAUGAUGAUCCUUGUGAGACACAAAAAUCCAUUAACGAGUCGAACGUUCCCAAACUCACCACUCUUAUCUCCAGUGGCCCUAUCGAUUUAUCUCUGUUCCUGCAUCUUCUGUACACAUAAUCCAAACAAUCCUCAACCUCAGAGCAACAAUCCUCCAUUGUCUUGUCGUCUAGCUUUGGUGGGUCGUUGCUGUAACGUGGCUUUAGCUCCCAGAAGAGCACGUAAUGCCCUGGGAUUGAUGACGUGUCCGCAUAGCUUGUGUACUCCAUGAGUAAGAGGCUUGAAGGCUGUUGGAGAUGGUUGAGUUUGGCUUGUGUCACCGCGUUUAGUAGAUCUUCCUCGCUUGUUUUGUCAGUGUCGAUGCUUAGUACGACGUUUCUUCGCUGCACGAAACGGAACUGAGGCGCUUUGUUGUGGAAACCGGUCACUUUUAAAAUAUCACCAACUCUGUACCUGUAUAAACCUAAACAAAAAAACAAACACAUAUGUUACUUGUGUCACAAGUUAACUACUCUUUUUAGUAAUCCCAUAUCAGACCUAGAAUAAUAUAGAGCCGUACUGACCUGUGAAUGUAGUAAUGACAAUUUCGUAGUAUCUACCGACUUCAACAUUAACAAGAUCGACGAUAAGAUCUUCCUUGAGAGCAUCCUCGUCAUCGGUGUUAGAAUGCGAGGCAAAGUGAAUCUCUUCGUGGGAUUUGUCGUCAACGGGCAAGAACUCGAAGUAAGCCAUGUUAGGAAGAAGCGUAUAGGAAACAUCGGCAGGAUCACACAACGGAUUUAGGUUGAUACCAAAGUAGCACUCAGAGGAAGCAUACAUCGUUGAAACCAACGGUAAACCUCCGCUAUAAAACUCUAGUGUCGGGAUGUAUUGAGCCAUGGAACCCGUCACAAUCACUUCAACAUACUUAGCCUUAGGCCACAGCCUCCUCAAGAUUCCUUCCCACGACUUCUCAGCACACUUACUCUCAAUCUCAUCAGCCAAUUCUUGAUUUGGACCAUCAAGGAUCGACAAGACCGAGUCUCUGCAGGCUGAGUCAGUGAUCCAGCUAGUGACAGUGCCGGUUCUAAUAUCUGCGCAAAGCUCUUUGUAAUGAUCCUCCAAAAACUUGACCGCUCGAAGAAAGGCAGACGCAAAGACAGCUCCGACUCUUAGGACAUGAGAUCGCUGGACUAGACCGCAGAGAAGCUGACAGUACAUGCUCUGUUUGCUGUCUUGACAAAGAAUGGUCUGGUCAGGGCUAGUGUAGACGUUGUACUUGUUGAAUGGUCUGUUCCUAAAAUGUUGACUUUUGUAGUAGCUGGUCAAAACCGGACGGGCCAUUAGACCUGAAAGAGUCUUGAUCUCUGGUUUUAUGAAUAGAAGAUACAUCCCUUUUCCUUCAUCUAGCCCGUUCACAUAUCUGCAAUUUCAUUUAUGUAACACAAUCCAUUAGCCAAAAAGCUAUAUCUUCACUAUUUCAUUAGUUCCACUAAAGAACACAAAUUAAUUUACAUAAUUUAUAUUUUGCCAUCUGUUAUUUUUCAAUCUACAAAGAAAAAGUCGCUUUAUUUGCUAAAAUUUUGAACUAAAUAAAAAUGAAAGAAUUGUGUUUUAUAAAAUAAUUUUUUUCGUGUAUAUAUGUUUAUAAAAAAUAUAUAUAUAUAACAAGUAUCAUGGAUUAAACGCGCUAAAAAAAAUAAACGAGACUAAUUUAUUUUAUUUUUAACUUUAAAUUAUACUUUGUAAAUAAGCAAGAUAUAUGUAAAGAAAAACUAGUGUAAUAUGUAUUACUUGUUCAUGAUAGGCACAAGCAUGCUGUAGAAAAAUGUCUUCCUCUCCAAUUCUUCAGCUGUAGAAGGCAUCAGCUUAGGUUUUCCUGCAGAAGUCCCCGAGCUGCAUAUCCAAAUAUCAUAACUCAAAUAAAUAAGCAAAUGUAACAAAAACUGUUUUUGUAAAUCUUUUGGUCAAAAUUUAACUAUACUAUACUAUGUUUUGUACCUAGUGAGGAGCUCUGUGAUGGGCUGAGCAGAGACGAUAUCUGAGGAUUCUCCAUCGGCGAUUCGUUGGAUGAAAGGCUUUAUGUCGUCGUAAUUCACCACAGGGACUUUGUUUUUGAAGGUUUGUAGAUUCUUGUCGGAUUCUCCGUGGAGAAAUGCUCGGAGAUAUUGAGUUCCACAGUUUUGAGAGAGUAUUUGGUGGAGAACUUGUUGCUGAAUUGCCUCUGCAUUUGUUGUUAGAUCCUCUAGAAGCUUGAGACCAGCUUCUGUAUCAUUUGGGUCGUAACUUGGUAUCAUUUUCUUGAAAGCAGACACAAACAAGGUUUAUUGUUUGUGUUGCGCAAUGAUGAGUUCCAAAACAAGAAAGAAAAAAGAGAGAGACAGAGAGAGUCUUUAGUUUUUCUUUUCUUUUCUUCUUCUUAUAAUUGUGUUGUGGGGAGAAGAAGAUGAAUCACUUCUUCUCUGUUCUUGAAGGUGUUGGGUUGGUGGUAUGAGAAGAAGGAUGAAGAAAUGGUUAUAUAAUAAAUUGGGAAAUGAUGAAAUAAUUAUUAGAAAAUAUAAAUAUAUUUGAGAGGUCCUACAACACACAUGGCCUUGUCUAGUUAGAAUGAAGCUAUUGUUGGUCAAUAUUACCUGUGCAGGCUUUCUCUAGCUAUUACAUUUUUUUUUUAUUAUAAAUGUUAUUGUUUUUGUUUUAAUAGUAUCAUAUCACAUAUUUGUUUAUUAUGUUGUUUAAUCCUCCAAUCAAGCUCUUUCUUUAUGAUCCGUUGAAUAAUAUCAAUCCAAUCAUAUUCACAAGAUUUGCAUAUGUCUGCAAAAAGAUAUACUCACUUGGUCUUCACUUAUAUAUAUAUACUCAUCUAAUAAUAUUAUUGGCUCUUAGAUUUUAUUUAGGAACUACUUGAAUUCUUCACAUGCAAAAUUUUCGAAAAAAGUAUAUACUAAAAAGAAGUAUGAUUGCUUCACUUAACAGAUUAUAUAUAUAUAUAUAUAUAUAUAUAUAUAUAGCUAUGAAGUUUUCAUUAUGAGCUUUUUUAUAUAUGUCCCUUAGUUCAUUUUGCAUGUUGUUUCUUAACCUAUAUAAAUGCAUUACAAAACUCUUAUUCAAAUUUCACAGACAUAUGUUAAUUCAAAUGUCAUCUAUAUAUACAUAUAUAUAUAUAUAUAAAUAUUGGCCUCAUUUAUGUGCGAUAAUUGGACUCCAUAUAAAAUAAUCUCAAGUUUGACUUAUGGCAAUCAAGAUUAAGAGAGAGAGAGAGAGAGAGAAGGAUUGUUAAUUAAGAUUGUUAAAUCUCUUGGAUAUGAUAAAAGUCAUCAUCUUGGUGAUGCAGAUCCAAAUGCAUAUGAUAGGGUCGUUACGUUUAUAUAUUUAUCUAUAUAAUUACAUAUAUUAUAAAUAGACCAAUUGACUAAUUAACCAUAUAUGAUGAAAAUUACAGCAUAAAAUAACAUGCAACCAACUUAAUUUCAAUCAAGAAAACUUAUAAUAACAUGGAAAAAUUAGGAUUAGGUUAAUGUAUAUGUCUUAGUGGUGACGAGGAAACAGAUGUGAACAAAGAGAAGAAGCGUGAGAGAGAUGUGUUUGGAGAAGAAGAUGAUAUAUUAAUCUUUCUUUCUUUCUUUCUUUUUUGUUCUCGUGAACAAAUUUUAUUCAAAUACGUUAUGUCAUACACAUUUUAUUUUAGGCAUGUUCCGUCCCAUUCCUUUGUUUUAGGCUUUUUCUUUUGCUUCCUUUGUUUUGGUUAGUUAGUCGUUCAAUGAUAAAAAAUUAUAAUAAAAACUUGUCGUUAACAUGAAUUAAGUUGAUUUGAUCAAACUUAUAAGAUUUUUAGUCAUUUUCGACCACGUAUUAUUUUCUUUAUAUUUUCAUUAUUAUAUAUUAUUAAUGGUAAUAGAAUUAAAUAAUGAAGGUAUGAAUCGCGUUUAGGAUUUCUUAAGAAACGGGCCUAAACUCAUCAAAUUUUUGUUUGUAUUUUUCUUUCUAUAAUUAGUUUUAGGAGUUUAUUAUAUAAAACAACCCAAAUCACGCAUCUUUUCUCUCUGAAUAGAACAAUGAAGGAGAACUAGUGUUAAUUCAUUUUGGUCCCUAAAUAAGCAUACAUACAUUGUGGAUCUUAAAUUUGCAGAGUGGUCGACCUUACAUGCAUGUUUCACACAUUUCUCCUAAUCCCAUUGGUUGCGUCGCAUAAAAUAAAUAAUUUUAUAAAUCAAUAAAGCUAAUAAACAUAGAUUAUAUAUAUUUCUCAUUAGAAGUUUGAACUAUGGAGUUAUACGAGUUGAGUAGUAUAGCUGCGGGUAAGAAUAUAAUUUCCAUAAAAAAGGUAUAUUGAUUUUUGAAUUCUAGAAAUAAAUAUGAGAUAUUUUUUAGUUUUUAACAAAACUAUUCCACUCACACGGAUGCGAGAGCGAGACUCGUUAAAGUUGGCAUAUUUCCUUCCACAAAUGUAUAGACCGGUCCACAAAAGUUUGGGGAGAGAUGCAGCUCAUACGCAAUCUCUAAGACCGACCAGCUUUAAAGACAUGCACUCUUUUGUAUAUUUUUCUAACCUUGCUAUAUUUAUAAAGUAAUAUCAAACUCUUGAUAUUGUUGUGGCAAACAAAAAAAAGAUUGUCGAAAUCUUUUGUCCCUUCCGGAUAUAUCCAACAAAAUUUUGCGAGACUCUUAAGCAAAGAUGAUACAAAUUAAGUGAGAUAUUGUCCAAAUAUUUUUUAGUUUAUCCAGUUAUUAUACAUAUUGUAGUUCUUUGUUCUUUUUUUUUUUUGUAAUAAGAUUUUCCGAGACGCAACACUCUCUUUUUAGUUCCUUUAUGUCGUUUUAGGGCAAAGCAUCCCAAAUGUAAAUUUGAUACGGAUCACUGCUUUGCAAGUUGCAAGUAGUAGUUUCGAACCUUUGAGUAUCGUCUGAUGUCUUGUCUUAUUGUGUAGCAGUAAACUACUUUAAACACUUUGAUGUAUGAUAUAUAUACAUGCCCACAAAAUAUCUAGCUCUUUGGAAAGAGGUUGAUUCUUUGGUAUCUUAUUUUCAAAUCUUGCUAGAGAUGGAUGAUUUUAGCCUUAAAACGUAACAUAUAAUUAUGAGAGAGUACAUUAUAAUAUGCUAAUUUUCGGGUAAAGGAAGCUAAGGUUAUAAGCCAAAACGCAAGAACUUCAUGCAAAUUAACAAGAAACAAAACAGGAGAAAAUAUAUUUCUUGUUCCAACUUUCAAUACUUUAUUCGGAUAUAUAUGUCAACGUACGGGAUUCUAAGCAUAUUCAUUGGAAACAACAGUCAUGGUAGAAGUUAAAGGACCAAACGUUGGCUGUAACGUAAGUCAUAUAUACACACUUAUUAAAGUAUGUUAUCAAGUCAACAACAAGCUUGAGCCUGAAAAAGCUAAGGUUAAGAUAAGUUUUGGGUUGCCAGGUACGUACACUAUAUAUUAAACGUUUAGUGUUCGUUUAAAUAUUGUUAGUAUAGUCGUAUAGUUGUUAAGAACAUAUUCCUUUGAAUUACCCACCACUUGAAAAUGAAUACACGAAAGGGAAAUAAGAAAGAAAAAACUGCUGACGCAGAGCUGAACGUUUAAAUUCCAGACUAUGGCUGCUCGUUUUGAGAUUCUAGAGAUUUCCAUAUAGUAUAUCAAGGUCCUAGAGAAACUGUUUGCUUUUUAGACAAAUUCUUAUUUUGUUAACAACUAGCUUGUAAUAUUCUUCUAGCUAGACCUAAUGGCCUAGUUAACCCCAGAUGAUUCGAACUCAUGAUUCCAAAGAGAAGAUCGCUGAUGGCUAUAGCCUUCUCGCUUAGAUGCUCUUGGUGUUUUAAGUAUAGUUCCUUAUUUGUCAGUGGUGUAAUAGCUAAAAUGGGAGUGUCAUAUUUGAGACAGUAACAAGAAUCGAAUCAGGGAUAUGGUGGAGAAUUAGCAAGGGACCACUAGCCCACGUGCUCUUCCCCUAAGUAUAGUUUAAUAUUGAAAAAAAAUGAGAUAAAAUAAUAUCGUAUAAACUAUAAACAUAACAAAAAAAAAAAGAGAAAGAAACAAUCAACAGCGUAAUAAGACAAAAAAUAGGUCAAACAUAAUUACGAGCUUUGCAAUUAUUGUUCUUUUGGUGGACUGCUUCAAACCAAUACGCACAACACAAUUACUUCUCAUGGACUGGGAUAAGGUAUUUAAAUCGAGAUGUUAAAUCGUGCAUUACUCCUCCUGAUACACGACAGAACCAUAAGAGAAAAUAUACGUAAAAGAAAAUUUCAGAUUAAUGCCAAUAAAAAGAAAAAGAAGAAACAAAAACAUUGAGAAAAUACAACAUAAAUUGAGAAACUUGAUUAGAAAAAAAAAAUGUUUACAUCUUAGAUUACUAAAAUAUGAUGAAAACUAGUCUUAAGUUUAUGGGGAUUGAUUCGAUAUAUAUAUAUAUAUAUAUAUAUAUAUACUAGUACUAGUAUUUGCUCUACUUGUUUUCAGAGCCUGUCUUUAGGCAUAUGCAAGAUCGAAGUGCCUUGUUGAACCAACAUAAAAAUUAGUGUGUAAUAUAAGAGUUCACGAAACAAAAUAUCUCGAAAUUCUCUUAUAUAUAAUGAAUUAAGAUCCAUACUACAAAAAUUGAAGGGGACCAUAAUCAUUUUACUAUUUUUGAGUUGGCCCUGCUUGUAUUUAAUGGGUAUUGAUUUGGUUUACAUGACUUCAAAACCAGUCUUUGGUCUACUUUAAUUCAAACAAAGUGUAGCCGUGUGUGAGAGUUACUUACGAAUCUCAAAUUUCAAGAGUAAUUAGUUACCUACCACUCUCAAAAGUUUAAGAACUAAGUCAGAGUAUCAUCUAUUUCCCAAACUUAUGUUUUGAUAUUUCUUGGGUAUGUAUGUAAACACAUAACUUAUCUAUUUCAAUAUUUUUUUGCGGUAUCAUGGAAAAUAAAGUCUAUUUCUAAAAAUAUUAAAAGAAAACUACAUUUUCUAAAGUCGUUGAACAAGACUUUGUUUCCUUUCAAGAAACAAAUAUUUAUCUAGAAAUUCACAAAUUUUAUUUGUAUGUUGCAUGCAUUCUUGUCUUCCAAAAGUACCUUCCCACUUUCCUUCAAAAUUAAUCAACAAAUUGACGUCUUUUUUUGUAAAAGUUAAUUUGAGAUUAUUAUCUUUAAUUUAUUUUGAUAAAAAGUUUGAGAUCGUUAUCAUCAAACCAAAAUCAAAUUAAGACUAAGAGAUAAUAUCAUAAUAAUUUGGGGAUGAUUCUACCUCAUCAUUCUAAUAUUUAUAAGAACGCAAACCUACUUUAAAGUGAAAACUUCUAGUAGGCAACUUAAAUUAAUGGUAUACACAUUAACAAAGUAGAAUGAGUUGCUUGGAAAAGAAGAGACUAAUAUGAUCUAUAUAUAUUUAGUACUAAUAAUUAAUAGCAAUAUGCACAUCACCGAUCCCAAAGUGAAUAUAAUUAGUUUUGUGUAAAGAGUUGUUUGGUUUUUGGUAAACGCCUUGAAGGUGAAAAGGGACUUAGUAUUAAUUAAAUUGUAGAUUAGGACAUUUGUUCAGGGAUUUGCUUAGAUUUGGUCUUUUGAAGUCUUUUAUUGCUCAGAUUAACAUAAAGUAAAAUGCAAAAGCAAGUGUCUCUAUGAGGGCACAUGUAGUCUUGAAAUGAGGAGAGGAAUUAGGAGCGAAAAAAGGAUGGUUUUAAAAAGUAUAGCAUAGUGUUUUUUAUAUACAUUAUCAUCUCAUCUUAAUCAUAGUGAUUAUAGCUCAAGCGUAUAUAAAGAGAAUAAGCCAUGCGUAACAUUUAAGUGACCUAUACAGACAAUAAACACAAACCAUAGCCGUCUGCCCAACUUAGAAAACACAAUUUAGAGCCAAAGAACUGUAUUUGUAAUGUCACACCCAACGAAAGACAUGAAAAUAAAAGAUGCAUAUGUGUACUACUAUUUUCGAUGGGCAAUCGAAAAAACUGAUCAAGAUCUGAGAUAAUGAAUGAUGAGUUGAAAGACAUGAUUCAAAAAUGAGGUAGUUGAGGACUGGGUCUCAAUAUUUGAAAUUCACAGAAGUUUCGGGUUAGAUUCCACUUCGAACGUCAAACUCGAGUCACGUGUGGCCACUUGGACUUUGGUCUGUAUAAUUUGUCAGAGUUGGGUUUGGAAACUUGCUCACCUCGGAUUAGCUACCUGACCAAACACCAGUGACAAUAAAAGAAGUGUCAAAGGGAAGAAGUGGUAAGAUAGUAAGAUACGACAUGGUUCAAAGGACUAGUUUUAUUGGCCUUAUGACUCGAAUAAAUAAGAGCUUAACUAAGGAGUUCACAUAAAUAAAUGUUUGUUGUACCAAUCAAAAUUCCCCCUUAUAUAUGAAUAAUUUUCAGUGGUAACAAAACCAAUCCGAUUCAUAUACUUCGUCGAACCUAAUUGUCUACCAACCAGAAUCUAAGAUCAAAACUACACUUUCAACUUGAUGCGAUAUAACCAAAUCGUAAGUACCAACCUUGGGUUAACAAUAAAUUUACCGAACUUUCAAGAAUUCGAGGUCUAUCAUUUCAUUGAUUUCGCUUAGAAAAAGUAAGUAAAAAUUUAUGGAAAAAAUUGAAAAUAUAUGUCUAUUACUUGAAAAUAUAUGUCUAUUACUUGAAAAUAUAAUCCAUAUAUAUGAAUGCUAAACUAUUUCUUUCGAAAAUUAAGUGUGGUCAAAUUUAUAAUUAUAAUAAUGUUAGGUACCUAAAUAUAUUAGGACUAUCUUCGAUUUUACCCAAUUGAAUGGGUCCAGUUAUGUUUCUUUGUUGGUCAAAAGCCACGUAUCACACACUUUAGUCAAAAACUGUUUGUGAUUAACAUCCUAAUUUAUCGGUAAUACUUACAACGGCCUCUCGCUUAAUUGAAAACUCCAUUAUUAACUAAUAAAUGUGUUAAGAACCUCCGGAUAAAUCUAACACUAAAUAUGUUUUUGUUUCCUCAUGACACUUGAUCCAAGUGGUUCAAACACUAAACUAAUUCAAUCGGGUCAAACAAAGUUCCGACAAGUAGACUAUAAAAAAUGUUGCAUAAUGCAGAAACCAAUUAUUUCUCUUAGGACGUAGUGACCACUGACCAGUGACCAAUAAUUAGUUGGGCAAUGUUUUUAAAAACAAAAUGUGGCAUAAGUUUAAGGUUAUUUAGUCGUUUGCCCAUGCGAUAUCUCCAUUCCAUCAUGAAAAGAUAAGAAGAAAAUAAUCAAAAGUGGGUACAAAAAUAAUUUUUAUUUUUUUUUAUAUAAAUCGUAUUAAUUAGUUUGUCUUCUAACGAGACGAAAAAUAACUAUAAAAGAAUAGUAAUCUAGAAUUAGGUUGCAUGUGAAAAGAAAUAUAAUUUGGUUGACGAGAUGUAAUAGAACAUGUUGGUUUCGGUUGGCCUUUUAACAUCUCAAAACCACAAAUUAAUAAACAUUGCAAAGUUAUAGACAAAACCAUGCCAUAGAUUAUUAUAUUUGCAGAGCUUAAGUUUUGUCACUAUGCAAAACAAAGUUAGGCAAGAUUAGGACUUUUCCAGUACUCUAGACUUUAUCGGCAGUUGUUUAACUUGUUACACUUAUCUUGAGUCUCGACACACGGUAAAGGUACGAACCGACGAGUGAUGAGUGACCCGGUGAAACUAUUUCUUUCCUUUUCUUAUUAAAUACUAGAAAGUUGCCCACGCGAUGCGUGGGUUAUAUAUGAAAUAUUANNNNNNNNNNNNNNNNNNNNNNNNNNNNNNNNNNNNNNNNNNNNNNNNNNNNNNNNNNNNNNNNNNNNNNNNNNNNNNNNNNNNNNNNNNNNNNNNNNNNNNNNNNNNNNNNNNNNNNNNNNNNNNNNNNNNNNNNNNNNNNNNNNNNNNNNNNNNNNNNNNNNNNNNNNNNNNNNNNNNNNNNNNNNNNNNNNNNNNNNNNNNNNNNNNNNNNNNNNNNNNNNNNNNNNNNNNNNNNNNNNNNNNNNNNNNNNNNNNNNNNNNNNNNNNNNNNNNNNNNNNNNNNNNNNNNNNNNNNNNNNNNNNNNNNNNNNNNNNNNNNNNNNNNNNNNNNNNNNNNNNNNNNNNNNNNNNNNNNNNNNNNNNNNNNNNNNNNNNNNNNNNNNNNNNNNNNNNNNNNNNNNNNNNNNNNNNNNNNNNNNNNNNNNNNNNNNNNNNNNNNNNNNNNNNNNNNNNNNNNNNNNNNNNNNNNNNNNNNNNNNNNNNNNNNNNNNNNNNNNNNNNNNNNNNNNNNNNNNNNNNNNNNNNNNNNNNNNNNNNNNNNNNNNNNNNNNNNNNNNNNNNNNNNNNNNNNNNNNNNNNNNNNNNNNNNNNNNNNNNNNNNNNNNNNNNNNNNNNNNNNNNNNNNNNNNNNNNNNNNNNNNNNNNNNNNNNNNNNNNNNNNNNNNNNNNNNNNNNNNNNNNNNNNNNNNNNNNNNNNNNNNNNNNNNNNNNNNNNNNNNNNNNNNNNNNNNNNNNNNNNNNNNNNNNNNNNNNNNNNNNNNNNNNNNNNNNNNNNNNNNNNNNNNNNNNNNNNNNNNNNNNNNNNNNNNNNNNNNNNNNNNNNNNNNNNNNNNNNNNNNNNNNNNNNNNNNNNNNNNNNNNNNNNNNNNNNNNNNNNNNNNNNNNNNNNNNNNNNNNNNNNNNNNNNNNNNNNNNNNNNNNNNNNNNNNNNNNNNNNNNNNNNNNNNNNNNNNNNNNNNNNNNNNNNNNNNNNNNNNNNNNNNNNNNNNNNNNNNNNNNNNNNNNNNNNNNNNNNNNNNNNNNNNNNNNNNNNNNNNNNNNNNNNNNNNNNNNNNNNNNNNNNNNNNNNNNNNNNNNNNNNNNNNNNNNNNNNNNNNNNNNNNNNNNNNNNNNNNNNNNNNNNNNNNNNNNNNNNNNNNNNNNNNNNNNNNNNNNNNNNNNNNNNNNNNNNNNNNNNNNNNNNNNNNNNNNNNNNNNNNNNNNNNNNNNNNNNNNNNNNNNNNNNNNNNNNNNNNNNNNNNNNNNNNNNNNNNNNNNNNNNNNNNNNNNNNNNNNNNNNNNNNNNNNNNNNNNNNNNNNNNNNNNNNNNNNNNNNNNNNNNNNNNNNNNNNNNNNNNNNNNNNNNNNNNNNNNNNNNNNNNNNNNNNNNNNNNNNNNNNNNNNNNNNNNNNNNNNNNNNNNNNNNNNNNNNNNNNNNNNNNNNNNNNNNNNNNNNNNNNNNNNNNNNNNNNNNNNNNNNNNNNNNNNNNNNNNNNNNNNNNNNNNNNNNNNNNNNNNNNNNNNNNNNNNNNNNNNNNNNNNNNNNNNNNNNNNNNNNNNNNNNNNNNNNNNNNNNNNNNNNNNNNNNNNNNNNNNNNNNNNNNNNNNNNNNNNNNNNNNNNNNNNNNNNNNNNNNNNNNNNNNNNNNNNNNNNNNNNNNNNNNNNNNNNNNNNNNNNNNNNNNNNNNNNNNNNNNNNNNNNNNNNNNNNNNNNNNNNNNNNNNNNNNNNNNNNNNNNNNNNNNNNNNNNNNNNNNNNNNNNNNNNNNNNNNNNNNNNNNNNNNNNNNNNNNNNNNNNNNNNNNNNNNNNNNNNNNNNNNNNNNNNNNNNNNNNNNNNNNNNNNNNNNNNNNNNNNNNNNNNNNNNNNNNNNNNNNNNNNNNNNNNNNNNNNNNNNNNNNNNNNNNNNNNNNNNNNNNNNNNNNNNNNNNNNNNNNNNNNNNNNNNNNNNNNNNNNNNNNNNNNNNNNNNNNNNNNNNNNNNNNNNNNNNNNNNNNNNNNNNNNNNNNNNNNNNNNNNNNNNNNNNNNNNNNNNNNNNNNNNNNNNNNNNNNNNNNNNNNNNNNNNNNNNNNNNNNNNNNNNNNNNNNNNNNNNNNNNNNNNNNNNNNNNNNNNNNNNNNNNNNNNNNNNNNNNNNNNNNNNNNNNNNNNNNNNNNNNNNNNNNNNNNNNNNNNNNNNNNNNNNNNNNNNNNNNNNNNNNNNNNNNNNNNNNNNNNNNNNNNNNNNNNNNNNNNNNNNNNNNNNNNNNNNNNNNNNNNNNNNNNNNNNNNNNNNNNNNNNNNNNNNNNNNNNNNNNNNNNNNNNNNNNNNNNNNNNNNNNNNNNNNNNNNNNNNNNNNNNNNNNNNNNNNNNNNNNNNNNNNNNNNNNNNNNNNNNNNNNNNNNNNNNNNNNNNNNNNNNNNNNNNNNNNNNNNNNNNNNNNNNNNNNNNNNNNNNNNNNNNNNNNNNNNNNNNNNNNNNNNNNNNNNNNNNNNNNNNNNNNNNNNNNNNNNNNNNNNNNNNNNNNNNNNNNNNNNNNNNNNNNNNNNNNNNNNNNNNNNNNNNNNNNNNNNNNNNNNNNNNNNNNNNNNNNNNNNNNNNNNNNNNNNNNNNNNNNNNNNNNNNNNNNNNNNNNNNNNNNNNNNNNNNNNNNNNNNNNNNNNNNNNNNNNNNNNNNNNNNNNNNNNNNNNNNNNNNNNNNNNNNNNNNNNNNNNNNNNNNNNNNNNNNNNNNNNNNNNNNNNNNNNNNNNNNNNNNNNNNNNNNNNNNNNNNNNNNNNNNNNNNNNNNNNNNNNNNNNNNNNNNNNNNNNNNNNNNNNNNNNNNNNNNNNNNNNNNNNNNNNNNNNNNNNNNNNNNNNNNNNNNNNNNNNNNNNNNNNNNNNNNNNNNNNNNNNNNNNNNNNNNNNNNNNNNNNNNNNNNNNNNNNNNNNNNNNNNNNNNNNNNNNNNNNNNNNNNNNNNNNNNNNNNNNNNNNNNNNNNNNNNNNNNNNNNNNNNNNNNNNNNNNNNNNNNNNNNNNNNNNNNNNNNNNNNNNNNNNNNNNNNNNNNNNNNNNNNNNNNNNNNNNNNNNNNNNNNNNNNNNNNNNNNNNNNNNNNNNNNNNNNNNNNNNNNNNNNNNNNNNNNNNNNNNNNNNNNNNNNNNNNNNNNNNNNNNNNNNNNNNNNNNNNNNNNNNNNNNNNNNNNNNNNNNNNNNNNNNNNNNNNNNNNNNNNNNNNNNNNNNNNNNNNNNNNNNNNNNNNNNNNNNNNNNNNNNNNNNNNNNNNNNNNNNNNNNNNNNNNNNNNNNNNNNNNNNUUGUGAGGCAAAGUUAAGAAAAAACCUUGUCUUAUUAUAUAAGAUAUAAAAAAAACUAGAUGUACAGGUCUACAAUCACAUUCACACAUGGUUAGAGUCUAGAGAGACGAGACGACCAGCCAAAACUUUCAAGCUCUUCUGACUGUACAAUCUUCAAAAACUAUACUAAUCAUGUCUAAAAUGACUAUACUGAUAAUGUCUAACAGGCCUCGCUAAGCCAGCUUUUGACAUGUUACGAUUAUAUAUUUUACAUCAUCAGUUCCUCUUGCUAAGUCAGUUUUAUACGUCUUGUAAUACAGCUUUUAUUUAUUCCCAGCGUCUGCAUCUUCAUAUUUUUUAUUUUUGUUUACGUUCACUCAGUUUUGUUAGAAAAACAUGGAAAAAAAACCCAUAAUCAGAGUCCAGGCGAGUAAGCAAAAUUCUCUUGUUGGGCCCAAACACUCAGGCCCAUUUUGGACUCUUACCAUUUUUGUCAUUCUAUAAUUAUCCGAAGCCACAUGCAUGUCGUUUUUAUGAUCCAAAAACGACUCGACUUUUUUUUGUUUUUUUAAUUAAAAUUAUUAGUCAUAAAUUAAAAAAUCCAGAGUGUAUAACUGUACAUUGGGAAAAAGCGAAACGUUUCUUACCUUUUUCUACUCCUUCCAAUCAAAAUUGCUGAAAUUUUUUGGUUUCCCCAAUUUGAGUAAUCUUUUUUUUCUUUCUCUUCAAUCACUUAAUAACAUCUCAAACUGUGUUCCCAAGUCCCAACCGCUUCAAAAUUAGGUCUCAUCAUCACGUUUCCUUGAAUCGAUCUCUGUGUUUUCAGGUAAUCUCUUCCGCCAUCGUUGAUUCUCCAAUCCUCCUCUUCUAAGAUUCUUGGAUUCGGAUUUGUUUGAUUGCCUGAUUUGUGACGAAGAAUUUGAUGCGAAUGACUAGAUUGAAUUAUCCUUGAAUUGAGGAUCAGUUGAUUACUGAUGAGUCGUCUGUUUCAAAAUUGGGUUUUUGUAGAUCAGGGCUAAGCUAGAGAGUUAAGAGUUUAGUGGAUUGAGGAUGCAGAAUCAGAAUGAUAUGGUUAAGGAUGAAGCUGAAGUAGCUACAUCGGCGUUUAAUGGUGAAGAAUGGGGGAACUGUUCAGAUGCUAUGGAGGAACCAUCUUUUCAAGAAGAAGAAUCUUCUAAAGUUCCUUAUGUUGGUGAUAAGGUUAGAGCUUAUCUUAUCACAACAGCUUAUAUAGAAUUCGUCAUUUGUUUCUUGGAAUUUACAUGAAAGAGUCUCUGUACUUUGUCGAAAGAAUUAAAUGUUUUGCAUUGUAUAACUCUCCCUAUGAGUUGCUUUUGAUGUCUGUCUAUGUGACUUCAUUUCAUUGCUAAUUGUUAGAUUUCUGUCGAACGUCUUACCUAAAUGAGCAACCGUUUCAUGUGUUAAACUUUGUAAAGUUGAUUAUUUUGGUUCUUUGCUGUGUAGGAACCUCUCUCUAGUUUAGCUGCAGAGUACCAAUCAGGGAGUCCCAUUUUGCUGGAGAAGAUCAAGGUUUCCUUUCUUUCUGUAUCUUCUUUGUUUGUUUUUUUGCUUUUAGUCUUCUUUUUUUUUUUGAUAACUUUCAUGUUUGCAAUGGCUGUAGAUACUGGACAGUCAAUAUAUUGCAAUCCGGCGAACAAGAGGCGAUGGAAAUUGCUUCUUCCGAAGUUUUAUGUUCUCUUACCUUGUAUGUUCUCAGAAUGUCUUCAAAUCUUUGUCCAGCCUUGUUUGUGUAGUUACGGUUUUUGGAAUUGUCCUGUUUUGCUUAGACGUGGGAUGUAUCUCUAGCUAAACUUGUUUUUUCUUUCAACUUUAUUUGCAGGAACAUAUAUUGGAAUCACAAGAUCGUGCUGAAGUCGAUCGUAUCAAGGUCAAUGUUGAGAAAUGUAGAAAGACUCUGCAAAACUUAGGUUAUACAGACUUUACAUUUGAGGACUUUUUUGCGGUAAGUCGACCACCUUGAUUUUUUUUUAUUGUUUCUGCCUUUGAAAUUUGUUAAUAUCAUCACUAAUGCUCGAUUUUGUUUUUUCUUAAUGAUACAGCUGUUCCUUGAGCAACUAGAUGACAUUCUCCAAGGAAAUGAGGGGUCUAUAAGGUAGAAGCUGUUUAUCUAAACGACAUUUGGUGUGAUGAGUUCUGACUUCCAUGAAAUGGCACAAGUCUCUUCUCAUAGUAUCUCAUCCUUUUUGCAAAUAUCUCUCUUUCAGCUAUGAUGAGCUCGUUAACAGAAGUAGAGAUCAGUCAGUCUCAGACUACAGUAAGUUGCUCUAAUUUUCUUUGGCGUUGCUCUGAUUUUCUUUGGUGAUGCAUAUCCAACUGUACGUAGUGUUGACAAAUCUUGUUGUCUCAGUUGUAAUGUUCUUCAGGUUUGUUACUGCUGGUGAUAUACGAACGCGUGCAGAUUUUUUCGAGCCCUUUAUAACAGGCCUAUCAAACACAUCAGUCGAUCAGGUUUGUACACGUUUACUAUGUUUUAGAAGUCAAGCCACUUGGUGAUAUCUAAAAUUUUCUUCAUGCAUAUCUGUAACAUUUUAAAGUCUUUCAGCAACAGUUACUUACUCUUGUGACCUCUGAAAAUCUUUGUUAGUGGUACGUUUCUAGUUUUACAUUGUAGUAUUAUGAAAAAGAAAAUAACAAAGAUGGUUUAGGUUAGAUUAUAGAUGCAUUUCCAAUAUACCAAAUUUCAUCUAAGCUGGAUGCUACCAAACUUGCUGGCUUUAUAUGGGAUUAUUCAGCGUUGUGAUAUGUUAAGUCACUUGCAGUUUAACGAAAUAUUCUAUAGAAAGUUCUGAAUACCUCCUACGAGAUUAUGAGAGCAUAGGUGAAUGCAAAGUACUAACACUAGUCUGUUAUAGUUUUGCAAGUCUUCUGUUGAACCAAUGGGGGAAGAGAGCGACCAUAUUCACAUAACCGCUUUGUCAGACGCGCUUGGUGUUGCAAUCCGGGUCGUGUAUCUUGACCGUAGCUCAUGUGAUAAUGGAGGCGUCACUGUGAACCAUCAUGACUUUGUCCCUGUGGGCACUGAUGAGAAAGAAGAAGCUUCUGCACCUUUUAUAACCUUGCUGUAUCGUCCAGGGCAUUAUGAUAUCCUCUAUCCCAAGUCAUCUUGUAAGGUAUAAUAAACACGAAAUCAACAUAUGACCUCUCUUCCUUUAGAUCUUUCCUGGUUUAAGUUUAUGAUUGUGCUGUUACAGGUAUCGGACAAUGUGGGAAAAUGAUCAAUCAUAAAACCCAUUGGAAGAUGUUUACAGAAAAACUGUGGUAAUAUGGAUUCAUGUGGAAGAAACCAUGGAACAAUCAAACUAUUACAUCAUCUAUUUGCUUCUUGAUUAUGAUAAAAGAACCCUUUUUGCAACAUUAAUAUAGAAUAUAAUGGAACGUCUCUUUAGUUUGAUCAUGCCUUGUGUUUUUCAUAUACAUUCCUUUGUAGUAUUAUACUAUUAUUGAUGAGCAAGUGGAAGGAAACCAAAUUAGGUUUGCCAUUUCACAUCAAUGACAGAGAGGUCCAAGUUUGUAUGUCUUUAAAUUGAAUUGGUCAAGUCUUUCAAAAUAAAAUAUGACAAAGAAAGCAAACCCUUUAAAGUGUUAAUAUGGCAAGAACAUGCGGAUUGGGUUAAAUAAAAAUGCAGUUAUUGUUAGUGGUAACAAAGAUGUGUAGGUGAGGUUAGUUUACAGUUGCAAAUACAAUAUACCAAAUUUCAUCUAAACUUGGAUGCUACAAAACUUGCUUGCUUUAUAUGGGAAUAUAUAGUGUUGUUAAGUCACUUGCACUUAUGCGUAAACUAAAGAUUCUAUAGAAAGCUCUGAAUACCUCCUACUAAAUUGUUAGAGCAUAGGUAAGUGCAAAGUAGUAACACUAGUUUUGUUAAAUAUAUAUAUAUAUAUAGAACCCAAAAAAAUGUAACACAAGAAUCCAAAAGAUAAGUGUGAGUGUAUAUACCGUAUUUCCUUUCUCACAACCAUCUAAAGACUAUACUGUAGAGUAUCAGAAUGUAUAGUGUAUGUAGACGUCCUUUAUUGUUUGUCACUUUCUUCUUUGGAACCUUGUCCUCUAAUUGAAAUCAAAAUCAAACUUGGCACCAUUACUCCUCUAAUUAAACAAUGCAAACUGAACAUAAUUUCAUAACAAGAAUAGCUGAAAAAGGGGUUUGUUGUUAUUUAGGAAGAAUGAAUAUCUCUUCAGGAAUAAAUAUACAUAAUGAAACAUUUAGCAGAAACUAAAGAAAAAUAGAGAUUCUCUCAAACAUGAAUUUUGUAUAGUCUAUUUCUCACUUUCUUAUAUUAUAUAUAUAAAGAUUGCCAAUUAAGUACUUAUACACAUUUCAUUUCUCACAAAGACAAAUUGCGAGCUCAAGUUUGGGACUUUACAAACCUAAAAUGAAAGGGACAACAACUUUAUAGCAAAAAAAGAGAAGAAAAAGUGUGAAGACAAAAGGUAAGAAAUCAAUUUAGAUGAGGAGAGGAGGACAAGAGGGUGUGAAUUGGUGUAUAGGCACGUUCUUCUCUCUUCGAUUUAACAGCAAUUCCCCCACUAGCUAUUACAAAUAAAAUAAAAAACUCAUGCACACUUGUUACCGU